UUUGUGUUUGAUGCUAGCGUGAUGUACAUAAUGUUUCAUUUGCUGAAUCUGGAUCCUGGAAGAAUAAAUCCUGAGCUUCUUUUCUUUUGCUUAUUUAACAUUCUUUCCUUGGGUGUGUUGAAGAGUUUAUGUUCAGAAAAUUUAGGCUGCAAACUCUGGAAUUUCUCAUGUCUGCUUAUCUUUUGGAAAAAUGCGUCUGAACUUCUACUGUUCAAGAGUUGGAUGGAGAAUAUAAGUUGGAGAAGAUAAAACAACUUAUGUUGAAGGUGAUAGAUAGUCAAAUAAGUAUUGAUCACUGAGACCUAGUAAAGUUCCUAUUUCCUCAUCAUCUAAAAGUUUGUUUUUCAUAAAUUGUCUUCAGAAUUCAUGCUCAAGCAAUGAUUUCAUAUUUCAUUGGGACCCUGGAUUUUUUAGUUGCCUCUAAAAGUUUGGUAACCUUCUCGAUUGUUGGUGCAAUCCUUAUAAACAUAGAUCAGUGACACUCUAGUCUUUCUCACCUUUUUUAGAUGUUGCCUUCUGAUGAUAAGUUUGAUAUUAUUGUAAGUCCCAAAAUCUUUUAUGCAGCUCAAGCCAAUCUUGAUUCUGGGCACAUUUUUGUCAUAAGAUUGAUCUAUAACUUAAACCUUCCAACUUCAUUGGGCUGUUGGACACUUUUGAGACUGUUAGUUGCCCCUUCGAGGACAAUCGACGACGAGUCAAAUGGAACAGAUAAUUGAAGAUCAAUUUUGAUGCCUCUCUCCUCCUGUUCAAGAAUUGGUAUAAUUCUCACAAGUUGGUUGCAUGAUUCUACUAGCGAAGUUUUUGUGGAUUGCACUCCAUUUUGGCAGGCUUUAGGACUUUAAACUACUUCACUGAUUAGAAAAUUUCUUGAACCAGGGUGCUUUAUGUUUUGAUUCUGGAAAUGCAAUUUUGGUUGUUGAGCGUGCACGAUCGAUUAUACCAAAAUAUGGUUGUGUUCUUCUGUUAUAUGUGAAUAAGUCAUGGUUUUGUUCAUCUUCGAUUUAUGCAAAUAAGUUGGUGAUGACUUGGAAGUAUUUGUUAGAGUUUUUGGGUAAUGAACAGCCAUUGCUAAAUUAAUAUAGGGCGUGCUUCUUCUUAUAUGAAUGAAUCCAUGGUUGAGAUGGUAGUGUUGUUAGGGACUAGAGAUAAUGGACAACCAUUCACAGUCCAAAAUAAAAAAAUGGUAAGCUAUUGGGAUAAAGGGCUAGCCCAAGCUUAUAAAUCUAUGUGGCAUCUUUUUUUAUUAGUCUUUGUGGGACUAUAACAAUCUUUUCCGCCCAACUUUAUGAUGCAACUUAUCAUGGAUUAGCUUCUACUUGAGGGGAGGGAGGGGGCAUCUGACUGAUAAAACUAUGAUGCACAUUAGGCUUGGUCCUGAUGCCAUAUGCCAUAUCCUGCUUUCUCGUUGCUCGCUUAAACCUGAAACGAUUUCGAACGGGUCUAAACCUGUAAUAUUAAGCUCGGCGGACCAGGUCAGAUCUAAAAUAUGAGCCUGCUUAUCAAAUGGGUCGAGCUUAGAUUUACAUCAGCUCGGCCUGAAUGUUGUAUGAUAUAAAAUAAAUCACCUUUUUCUCGUGGAUUCUUUUCUCAUGGAUGCCCCCCCCUCUCUCCAAAUAAAAACCCCUCCCACCUCUCCCCCUCCUGCCAUCGACGCUUCUCUCUAAAACCUUAGCCUCUUGAAGAGCUUCCACAGCCUUCGGAAGAGCUUCUACCAUUGCUCUACCACUAAUCAUGUUGCUGCUGACUGUGUUACCGCUCUUAUUGACAUUGCUUGCUGAGAUGAUGCACUUGACGUUGUGGAGCAUGUCACGCUGAGUCUCCUCCAUACGGUUGUCAAGGAGGAGAAGCAGGGGAAGGCGGUGGGUUUUAUAAGAUCGGGGUAGCAUUUGUGAGGAUGCUGGUGAGAAAGGGGAAGAUGGGGAUGGUCAGGGAGGUGAUGGCUGAGAUAGAGAGGAUCUGCAGCGAGUUAAGCAGGAUGCGGAUGAUGGUGGUGUCAUUGGAAAGGAGGAUGGAGGAGGCUGAGCUAGGGGAAUCACUGGCGAGAGUGAGCGGUAUCAGCCAAGGUAUGCGAGAAUUCGACGGUUAUCGACGUUAUUAAGACCCGUCGUUCGAUGUUGGAAAUCGGAUUGGAUCAAGUCGAGGAGUGGGACUUAGGCCAUCAGAAAGCUCGAUACAUGGCUUGAAGCCCAAAGCCCAGGUGAGUACUCGGGUGGGGCUGGAAAGUAGGCUCGAAGGUUGGGUUAGGUAGGUUCUGAGCGUUAACUAAUUUUAGUUAUACCUUGAGCUGAGCCUAGCUCGAAUAUAGCCCGGCCAAUCCGUUGAACAAUAUAAAAGCUUAAGCUAUUGGGUGGAGGAUCUAUGCAGGCUUAUAAAGUUGUAUGAUGCCUUUUUUUAUUGGCCGAUGUGGGAUUAUGAUACAUGCCAACUAAAAUACCAUAUAGGUGUGGUUCUUCAUAUUUGAGGACUAGUUUAUCAUUUGUGGCUAAGAAAUAAGUCUACCAGGUUUAUGCAUCAUAUGAACCUAAGUUGUUGGAGUUACCAUGAACUAGUCCCUCGAAUGGCGAAAGGUAUAUUAUGAUGAUGAGGACGGAGCACACCCUAGGGAUACAGCAAGUGCUGAAUCGUUGAUUGGUUUCCAUCUAGAUCGAGUCCAUCUUAGCUUUCUAUCAUCAACUUUUCAUGUAGAAGCAUUGAGCACUUGGGAGUAGGUCUGUAAAAAUUAAUCAUGAGUGCAUAGAUUCUGUUUCAAAGGACCAUUUCUGAUUAACAAACAACACUUUAUAAUCCAUAGCUUCCCAAUAUGAAAUACCCUUUUAAUGUACCAUAUGAUCUGAUUAUCAACCUUCAUUUAGGGAAAUAAGCUAUUCAGUAUCCAAAAGAGAGGCCGACUAUGUAAGUAUGUAAACAUUUUACUGGUGCCUCGAUCGUGUGGUUAAAUAGAUGACAUAGUUCCUUUGGUGGCUGUGGCAUCAUUUUCCAAGACAACGUCAGGAGUUAUUUUGUCUUUGAAAUUGCGAAACAUGAUUUGGUUCAGACGUUUGAUGCGUGCUAUGGUGGUUGGCAGCUGGCUGAGAGCACAACGUUUAACAAGCCAAAAACUCGCUGGCUCCCCAUCUUGAUAAAUGCAUCUACUCAGUAUACGACAUCCAUUUGAUUGUCCUAAAGUUUUAAAGCAACUCCAGAAAAGUGCUCGCCCAAGGGAAGUUUGAAGCACUAGUAGUCCAAUUUAUCCGAUCAUCACAUAUAGUUCAAGCACCUGGCCAAGCCAUCGGCUCGCAGUUCGAUCAAAAUAUGAUGCUUUUGAUCUGAGUGUUCCCAUGGCCAAUACCAGUCAUGCUAGGAAGAGUACUAGGUAAAGAAAUAAUUCUGCCUAGAAAAUAGCCUGUCAAGAACCAGCAGAAUACAACUAAUAUAAAAUCCUGCGAGCACAAGAAUUAAUUUAAGCACCUUUUAAUCAAUACCUUGAUUUGAGCUACUCAACAAUUCAACAGUCGUAUAUCAAAACAAGAGUAGGGGAUAUUCUCAAAAAUUUAAAUGAUGAUUUAAACGAAGAAGAUUAACACACUCAAUAAUUGUCAUGAAAUAUAUAAACUUUAAAUAUCAAAGCAACCAAAAUCUGCGAGAACAUUCUCGCAAUAAAACCUUACAUAAAUCAAAAUUAUCAAAAAGUUCAUAUCACCUUCGGGGAGAAAAUCUGUAUCUCCUAGCUAAAGCAACCAAUUUGCAGUUUUUCCACGUCCCUCGCAGCACAACAUCUGUAUUUCCAUAGCAUAACAGCACAAUCAAAAUAGGGGCACGUAGACCCUCCAGCAAAACUGCCCCUAGAAAAGCUUGUUCUCACCUAAUUUACAGUCAAGAUCUUAAUCACAGAUGCAAUUCCAAUCCGAUGCAAUGCCACAACAGAAUCUCCUGCCUUGCAGAGACCCUUGACCUUAGCAUGCUGAAUGGCAAAUUCCAGUGCUUCGUCAGUGGACUCUGUGUCAGAGGCCUUUGCAGUUGCAGCACUCAAGACCGGAAUCAAUCCUCUAAAGAUCAAGCUGUGCCUUGCAGGAGCCUCGUUGCUGCAGGACCAAUCAAAAGAAUCAGUCUUCAACUCAGGAACCACAACUGAUAAUAUCGGCAUCGCAGGCCUGUACUUGGCAACCAGCUUCGCGGUGCUUCCUCCCCUGGUCAGGACCAGGAUUAGCGUUGCUUUAGCAGAGUUCGCUGUUCGGACAGCGGAGGAUGCAAGGCUCUCUAAUGGGCUCAUUGGUACUGGUGCUCUCGCCAUAAUGCCUUUGAAAACAGCUUCAUGAUCCAAGUAUGAUUCUGCUUCCAAGCAAAUCUUGGCCAUAGUCUGAACUGCUAGCUCUGGGUAAGCCCCAGCAGCUGUCUCUCCACUGAGCAUCACACAGUCGGUGCCGUCCAGAACUGCAUUAGCCACAUCGGUAGCUUCAGCUCGGGUUGGGCGAGGAGAUUUGAUCAUGGAUUCCAACAUCUGGGUUGCUGUCACAACAGGCUUCCCUUUCAUGUUGCACUUGAAAAUCAUCACCUUUUGAGCAUAGAAGAUCUUCUCAAUUGGAAUUUCCAUCCCCAAAUCUCCUCGUGCCACCAUGAAAGCAUCUGUAUUUGCAAGUAUGUCAUCAAAGUUUGCCACCCCUUCUUGAUUCUCAACCUGCAAGUAUUCAUAAUGAAUAUAAAAACUCCGAAUUGUGUAUACAAUUGUAUAGUUUGCAUAUCUGCAUUAGAAUUCAGACAGUUCAACAAACCUUCGACAUCAGCACAAUUGUCUUUGCAUGAUCUCCGAGCAGCUUUCGGACCUCCACAAGGUCAGAACCUUUGCGCACAAAGGACAAAGCAAUCAUGUCAAUCUUGUUAGGGACUCCCCACUUUAGGAUGUCUUCCUUAUCCUUCUCCGUUAGUGUAGGAAGAUCCACAAUGACUCCUGGAAGAUUGACAUUUUUCCUUUCACCAAGAGCAGCUGAAUUCUCGCAGCGGCAGCAAACCAAGCCUGCUUCCUUAUCACAAGAAAGCACUGUAAGCGUGAUUGUCCCAUCAGAGCAGAGUAUGACACUACCUGGCUUCAAAUCCUCCGCUAACUUCUUGUAGCUCAUGGAUAUCAUGUUCUCGUCGCCCUUUAUGCUGUAAUCUGUGGAGAUAGUGAUCUCCUGACCCUUUUGAAGGCGAAUGGGCUUUCCAUCUUUCAGAAAUCCAGUUCGGAUCUCUGGACCCUGCAGCAUUAUAGAUUGGAAUCUUAUAAGCAGUGAUAUGCAUUUUCUCAAGCAACAAGAUGUUGCAAUUAAAAAUCUGGUAGUUACAACAUCAAUGAGCUCUUUACAUCUUCACUGCAUGAAAUUGACCCCCAAUCUAAUACUUGAACCCUGUUCAAAUAUAGGAAUUAUGUGCUCAUUUUUCAGACUCACACAAAACUCAGUCAGUCAGUAAUUUGAUAACAAUAUUUUUCAAUUGUAUUUUUCUCUCUCAGUUCCAUCUUCCAUCCUAAGCAAAGUUCCUCAAAAUUAUCAUUGCUAUUGCCAUCAAUUUCUUCCUCAUUUUACACCCAGUCUACUACAGAGGCCAAAACCACAGCAACGUCUAGGUUAUGCCGUACAGUAAAUAGCCUACAUAAAACAGAGACUCAGCAACAACAUAUUAUAUCUUCUCCUUAUUUAGAUCUACAAGUCACGAUGUAACCAUGCUGUCUACUUGCAAAAAAUAAGUAGGAUAAUCUAAACCAACAUCUGAUCAGAAAUUGAAACACGACCUUCAAGAAAGCAAUCUGGCCCAUAUCAGUAACAGUAAACCUGAGCAAAUUCUUUUCCCCCUCAAGUUACAUAUAUACGAACAAAUGAAAAUAAAAAAUAAAGAAAUGAACUGAAUUUAAGACAAUUCUAUUAAGAACCUAAAGGAAAUUAAAGAUAGAGCAAUCAGAUCAUCAACUGCAAGUUAAAUGAGAUGUAACUUGGUAAGGAGACGGUGAGUAACAGAGUAUCAAUAGGUCCAAUAUCCUAAUGAAAUAUAAACCUCCAGAAAUCAUCUCCUAAAAUCAAAUACAGCAUGCAAAUGGUUGAUGAUGAUGAUGAUGUGACAUCCUAUGCCAACCAGACGUUUAUUAUGCGUAAAAAUAGAAGUUCAGAAAUCGAAGUCUUGUGCAGUUCAUCAAUAUAACCACAUACAGCAAAGCACUGUUAAUUCCGCUGUCCACCGAAAAAUAAAAACGAUAAAAUAAGGGCAGAAAAACAACAAAGAUAUCAAAAUAAAUGCAAGAAAUACACCACAUCAACUCGAGAAAGAAUACUGGUUGUUAUAUCUUGGCAUGAAAAUAAAUAAACAUGGCUGAAAACCCGAAACCAGAGUAAAUGAGGGUUGACGAUGAGAGAAAACUCGAUAUGCAACAAACAAUAGCAUUCCUAGCGUGAUAAAACUUAAAUUUUGGAAUCAUAAUAAGCUUCAUAUUAAUUAGACUUUCAAAUUAACCAUAGAUAAAUCAAUAAAUAUUAAAAUGGGAACCGACUAAGAAGUUAAUUAUUAAAAAAAAGGACAAAAUAUUAAAUGGAAAGAUCGUUAGAACAGUUAUAAAAAAACAAACUCAAAAUUAUAACUCGAUCAGAUCUAUAAAUCGGAAAACAACAAGACGCCAAGGAGAAUUUAAAGAAUAAAUACCCAAAAAUCCAAAACAUGAACAGAAAAAUUCGAAGAUCCCGCCCCCAUGUCGACAUCCCGUCACAAGGGGGAAGAGUCAAAGGCCUUACCUUGGUGUCGAGCAUGACGGCGCAGAGGAUCCCCGUGUUGUCCAUCGCUGUCCGGAGGUUAUCUAGGGUUUCCUGGUGGUAGGCGUGGGAUCCAUGCGAGAAGUUGAACCGGGCGACGUUCAUCCCCGCCCUCAAAAGCUUCUCGAUCAUCGGCACCGACCUCGACGCCGGCCCCAGCGUGCACACGAUCUUGGUCUUCGGCCUCGUCCUCACCUCCGCCAUUCCUUCCGCCUUAGAUCAACACAGAACCGGCGACAGAGAUCAAAAAGGAGAGAAUCUGGAGCUAGAGAAAAGAAUCCUUAGAAAUGGAGAUCGAUCGGAGAAGAGGAGAGGAAGAGGACAAAGGCGUCUCUUUUCCUAUCUCCCAAGUUUUCUAGCAGUCGACGAUGAAAAUGAAGUCGCGAACAAAGCUUAAAAAGCCCCGGGUCGCCUUCCAUUUUAUAAUGGGGACCGGGAUUAUGGUGAUCCGGCGGAGCAGCUAGGGGGUUGGGUGUCUCGCCCUAGGAGGGUAGGGGGGAAUCUAUGGGUGAUUUGCCGGGGGAUUUGGGGCGGUGAAAACGAUGGGAGCCGUCGGUUUUGGGGGAAACGGUGGAUGAUGGGGGGCUCGACGCUUUCAGAAGAUGGCAGGAGAGUGGUGGGCCAAUGGAACAUUCUGUGGUCAUUGGACCAGGGCGGUGUUCUUGGAAGCGGUGGUUUUGGACGGUGGAGGCUAAUUUUGGAAAGUCCUCGUGCUUUGCAUGUCGUGCAAGCAUUGCGGUUCUGGUUGCCAUCCCUUCCCACUGCACGUGCAGGAAAAAGAAUUCCACAUUUUGAAAUCUCAUAUUAUUUUUUUUGAAAUAAAAUUUUUGUGUUCACAUUAUUAUAUUUUUUUUCCAGAAAUUUCAUGGCGAUGCGACUAUGGCCCGUUUGGUUCGCGGGAAAAGAAGGAGGAAAAAGUGUGGUCAACGAGAAAGUAAUUAAAUAUUUCUUGUUUGAUUGAAGUUUUUAAAGGAGAGAAACAAAAAAGUUGUAUUUUCAUAAGAAUAUGAUUUCCAUAUUUCAUGAAAGAGUCUUUCCCAUGAGAAACAUGAAAAAAUUACUUUUCCAAAAAAAUCUUUUAGCAUUAAGGAAAGCAUUAAAUACCUAAUUUUUAUUAAAGACAUAAUAGAAAUUAUACAUAACUUUUCCAAAAAAGUAAAUGGUCAACCAAACAUAAGCACUUUAAAAAUUUGUCACUUUUCCAUGGUCAACCAAAUAUACCAAAAGUACUUUUCUAGGCAUCAUCUUCUUAGGAAUUUGUUUUCUAGAAAUCAUAUUCAUAGAAGGAAAAAUGCUUCGCACGAACCAAACGAACCCUAUUAGAAUUGAAUCUUACGCUCAUUGAACAUCUAAUAAAAUAUAUUUUAAUUUAUUAAUUUAAUUAAACAUAUUUGUAUUUUCUACUAUUUAAUUUUUUUUUGAGAAAUAUAAGUUUGAUGGGCAUGCAGGUUGCACUAGCUAUGGAAUGCUGUAGAUGGCAUGCAACGCUGCAAGGUGUGGAAGUUCAUAAAACCAACACGUAAAAGUAGGCUUUGGGUGUUGUAAAAGGCGUGCAAUAAUGCUGCAUGCAUGCCCAGAGAUGAUCUGGAUGCAUGAUGCAUGCAAACACAGGAGGCGGUUUGGCUAUCCACCAAUGAUGAGUGUUGGGGGAAAAUCCAAGUCGUCUCGGAACAAAGACGCCGACCAGAAGGCGUCCGACCAGAAGGCGCCAACCUUAUUACGCUCGAACUAAGGGCGCCCGACUCGGCAACUGCCUCGGCUCGGCACCCGACCAGGCGCUGAAUUCCGAAAUGCCUUGCCUAAGUAUUCGACCCCAGCUUAAGCCCUUAAAGGAGCCUUACUCCAGAUACUCAAUCUCACCAUAUCCUGCUACCGUCGUCAAGCCAUAAAUACACAUGGCCUUUGCAGGCCUCCGGCACACCCGAUCAUUAAUGCGCGUGGCCUCUGCAGGCCUUCGGCGCACUCAACCAUUAAAUGAAUAUGGUUCAUGAUGAUCUCCGGUUCACUCAACGAUUAAAGCGUAUGGCUUCUGUCGUCUACGGACGUCGAGCCUCUUGCGGCAAACCCACUUAAUCGCUGAUGAUGGCAUGACUCGACGACGACUUGAGGGCUCCGGCCUGAUCUCCAACAGCAACGGUGUUGACUCACACGAUCGAACAUUAAUUCUACUGCAUGCCAGACUGUACGACAGGCCGAUUGCCCCGUCACAUCAUAGGUAACCCAGCUCCCUCUAUAAAAGGGGAACUCCCCCAUUUGAGGAGAGGGAGGACUCCGACUUCUUACCGCUAUCUCCAUCCCCAUACAGACCCCUGACUGACUUAACCAUCGGAGGGCCGGCGCCGGAGAGCCCGGCCACCGGCUUCUUGCAGGUCUCCAGGAGGACGCCGCCCGCCGACGCGCCGCCACCCAGGUAGCGGAGCUCCUCUUCUUCAGCCGACGGCCGGCCCCGGGUCCAAUUUCCAGCAACAGUGAGUCAGGCAUGCAGGAUGCUGCACAUCACAUGUACUAUAGCCAUCCAUGCCUCAGUGAUGGGGCAUGCACUUAUGGCGAGCUAAACCCAUUCUGCCAGGAUGAUGAUGCACAUCCUGGGAGGUUCAGGCUUUUGCUAUAGAAGGCAUGCAGAGUAUUACAAGGUAUGGAAGUUCAUGAAAUUAAUAAAUCGAACGAGGCAUGACACUCGCAUCUUAUUUACGCUAAUAUUGCCUUGAUACAUGCAACUAACUUGAAAUAAGGAGUCAUAUAUAUAUAUAUAUAUAUAUAUAUAUAUAUAUAUAUAUAUAUAUANNNNNNNNNNNNNNNNNNNNNNNNNNNNNNNNNNNNNNNNNNNNNNNNNNNNNNNNNNNNNNNNNNNNNNNNNNNNNNNNNNNNNNNNNNNNNNNNNNNNNNNNNUUUGAAAUUUGAAUGUCUUCAUUUCUUGGGAAUCCAAGUAAAAGGAUUCUAGUUUAUUUGACCCGAUGCUCUUUUUGAGGGAGUGUUCAUACAAUAAAUUGGCGCCCAAGUUCUCGAGCACAUUCCCUGCCUUUCUUCCCAUCACCAAUGGAUCUCCUUUGACUCGCUUUUCUACAAUUUCGGUAUCUGUGUAUUAUUUUCUAUUUUCCUGUAUUAAUAUUUUUCUUCUUGCUAUAUGCACCUUAGGUUAAGUUUGCCAAAUAACAAUGGAAUAUUCUGCAUUCUUCUAACCGUGUUAAUUUUAUAUCUUUUAAAUAUUUUUGCCUCUUCUCAUAUUUAACCGACUUCCUAAUGCAAUGAUUGAUUCCCUAGCGACAAAAUUGAGCGAGAAGAAGAUGAAGUGAAUGAGGAAAGAUGGAGUCUCAAAACUCAUUGACAGUUUAGUACAUUUUUAUUGUUUGUUCGAUUUGUCCAAACGGACAACAUCUUUUAUAUAGUUAAAAAAGAUAGAGAUUAGUAUGCAAAUAUGAAUAAUUUCGGAGAUUGAUUUGCAAUAAAUCUUUAAAAUAAUGGUUGUUAUAACAGUCUUGGAUUUUCUUAUAUAUAAUAAUUGAAAGAAAGAUAGCAACUGUUGGCUCACAAAUGAAGGUUAUUUGGCACUUGCAUUGUUUUUUGCUAAAAUAUCAUUUUCCCAAAUCUUUUUUUUUUCAAAAACUUCACUUAAAAAUGUUUGCAUUAUAAAAAAUAUUUAUUAUUGAAAUGUUUAUUAUUGGUGAUUUUUCAUUAAUUCCAUUAUAACAGAAAUAACUAUUGAUUUGAAUAAUAAUAUUCUUUUUUGGUUAUUAUUUGCUAUUUUUCAUCUCAAUUACAACAAUCAUUAUAAUAAUAAAUAUUUGAAUAUUAAACAAUUCCAAACUGUACAUAAUGCGCCUAAUAAAGGCUAUCAUAAUUGUUACAACAAUCAGUAAUAGUUUCAAUAAAGAUAUAUUAUAACAGAAUAAUCAAGAGCCUCUUAUGUCACUUCCAAGCUGCCGUGUCACCUCCAUUCUUCCACCAUUGCUGACAUUUAUCAGCCUCUUGAGAUUCUCAAACUACAAUUUUAAUAUUCUAUUUGAGAUCCUUUUUUCUAUUUAUGUUAUUUGUUUUUUAUAUUUAUCCAUCCAAUGUAGAAGUUGAUAAUCUACGUUACGUUACUGCACCUGGCUCUGUAGUCUUUGCAAGCACAACUUCCACCGUUCUAACAUAAAAAAGAUGGCUCCAUCUUAAGUUUCGUCAUCUGCAAGUUAUGCAACAACAAUCAUAAAACCCCUUUUUAUACGUCCAGAUUGAAUUAAACUCAACCAAAAAUCAUUUCAUUCACUUCAAGUUUUUCUAGAAGUUGAAAAGAAAAACAUCGAUAGCUAAAGAGCACCACCAUAAACUACAGCAGAAGCACGGAAACAGAAACGAACUAAAUCAUAACAGCAAAGAAGAAAUAACCACAACAAUCACAUCCUCGCGGCCCAUUCACCUCAAAAGCCAUAAACACCAAAAACAAGACUACCCUGCAAUCUCCAUAACAUAUAAAAUACAUCCUCUUAGUUUAACAAUCCUUUUCAUUACAUGUUGACCUCAGCCAGUUCUUAGUUUGUAUUUUCUACUGGGGUUUCUUGAGAUCUUUGGAAACAUCGCAGGUUCCAAUGAUGACCAAAUGGAGCUACAGUUCUGUUUCUGAUACAUCAAACGUAAGGAUGUCAGGCUAUAACAAACUAGUUUACUAACAUUAAGUUUAUCUUGUCCAGACGCACCAAAUACUAUGUAGUAAUUGCUAGUGAGAGCUCAGAUUGAUCAGUAGUACAUGUGCAUCAAGCUCAUCUAAAUAAAUUAAAAAACGAGUUGCUUCGUUGCUCUUCUCUAUUCUCAAUCACCACUUAUGAUGGAGGGAAACAAAAGAAUUACAACAGCGGCAUGAAGUGAGCUCGAAAACCUUUAAAUAUCGGAGAUCGCUUCAUGACAUCCAAUCAUCAUCUGGCCUACAUGGGGCUAUCCCAAACUUCUCUAUAGUUCCAACAGAAAAGGCUUCUCAUGAACUUCCUAAGCUGAAAUGAGUGUGACUAUAAACUCUUUUUGCAUGUUUCACUCUGCAAAUUGUGCAGAACUUCAUAGCUCAUCAUGACCAGAGGGUUGACUUGUGUUCAUAUCUUCAAGUUUCUGCUGCAGUUCCUGUCACAGAUACCAGGAUUUCCCUAUAAGAUUCAAGUCACAAGAGGAGGCAAAUCAUAAUAAUCAAGAUCGAGCAAGUACCUUUAGCUUCUCUUCUAGACAUACGGCUGGAGUUGAAAGUAUAGCUACAUACCUGAUACGGGCAACAUUAAACAUGAGAAAAGAUUCUUAUGAGAAGAAAGGCUAGCGAGAUGGAAGAUAUGCAUACUCGCAUCGGCUUGGUUCAUCAAUGUCCGCAAGCUCAUCUUUCAAUCCACACCUAAGUCUCACCUGUAUAAAACUUGAGCAAUCAGAACUAUUGCCUUAACAAAGCUCAGACAAGGUUGAUUAGGGAAUUCAAACAAUACCUUUAGACUUCUAUCGGGGCCAUUCCAACACCUAUCUCCAUUGGAAAAUAACAUGACUCUGUAUGACUCCUCAAAUUUAUCCCAGUGCCUGCUUAAAUAAAAUGAGAUAACAUCCAACCACAUCGACUAGACUAUACUUUCAUCUUGCUAGAAUGUGGCAUGAGUGCUACCGUGCCAUACCGUAAUAUGAUCCAGGAGCUUCUAGUAACAUUAUAUUUCUUAGAAGUUAAAACAUAUAAAGAUCCUAGGAAAGACCCAUAGAGGGCCCAAGAUAUUCAAAUACAGGUUAAGUUAGGCCAAGUUAUGCAGCUCUCAAUACCCUACCCUUAGUGUCAUCUCUACAUAUUCUCUUUUGAUGUGAUUAAAACAUUCUAUUCUUAUAAUUGUCAAAGAAGACUUCAUUUCAAAGACAAAAAAGGUCCCAAACUAAGACACCAAUAAGUACUUGGUAUAACAGUCAAUAGUCACGGCUUCUAUAUCAUUAUUUUUAAUGCUUCUAUGGACACAAAUGAACGUUGAAAUGUCAAAGAACAUGAAGGCCCUUCAGCUAGUAUACUGUUGGUAUCUAAUGUGAAAAUUUCUUAUUAAGUGUUGAGAGCACAUUUGUCAAGGAGGAUGAGUUAUCAAUGAGAUAUAUUUUUUUGAUAUAAACAAAGAAUCUCAAGAACUUACCCCAAUCGGGUGGAACUGUGCCCUUCGACCUGGGAGGCUUUCUUAAAUGGACAGACCUUAUAAGUGUACCUACCGACAAGAAUUUCCAAAAGCCACAAUUAUAUGAUUAAAAAAAAAAGAACAGCAAUGCAAGUUCAUCAUAAGAACAACUAAAAGGAAUGUUGUAUAUAGUAUACAUACUUAUUCUGCUUGCUCUCAAAGCAACGAUCAUAGAAUGAAUAAAAUUCUUUAUCCUUGCCUAGCAAGAAAAUACCCAACUUCAGAAAACUGUUGCUGUCUGUCUAACUCAAGCCAUGAACAUGACCAUAUUCAUGCAUAAAUGAUCAAAGAAAUAUAACAGAACCAAUGUAUUUUACAAACUACUUAUUCUGCACUUACAAAUUAAUAUAAACACAUAAGAUUCAUAAGGUCUAUCACCUUAUAGACAACCAUAUUAUGACAACAUAGAAGUUUUUCUAUUUGCACUAUCAUCAAGCAUUAACAAAGUUGUGCAUUUGAUCUCGUGGCCUAAAAGUCAGUUUACUGCACUAUCACAAGCAGCUUGAAAAGCAAGCCUACCUGCUAAUUGACAACUAAAAAGGUACCUCUGCUCAUCCGAGCCUCUUUAGACAUAUAAAACCUUUUAGGCAAAAAUAUGCUUGCAACCCUGUGAUGUUUCUGAAGUGCAUCAGUGCACAUGGUAUGGAAAAAAUCUCUGCAGCCUCACAUCUCACAAUAGUUUUGUCUCACAAUUAACAGGGGGUGGUGAUCAUAUUAAUUUUCCAAUCAGCAUACCUAUUACAUGUAAAGAGAGCUGCAAGAUUGUUUAUAUAGUUUCGACUUUGGAGGAUGUUUCUUCUAUCCUUAAUAUGUCUUUUCUAUCCUUCAUUUUUAUUCCUGUUUUCUUUGAUUCUUGUAAUAUUCUUAAACCCAGAAGAAAACUUUAAAUAAUUAAAAGAUAUCCAGCUCGGUAUGGAAGCACCUAAUCAAAGGGAAACUGCGCAUACAUCAGCUGCAUGGCUAAAACCCAUGGCUUAAUUUGGUCACAUCAUGAUCGAUCAAAAUCAGCCAGCAAUUUAUUUUCAGUCAUCAAUUAUUAUAUGCUUUGAUGAAGAUUUUGGCGCAUAGAAGGGUGCCUUUAAGAAGAAAAAAAAAUGAAAAUGUUUCACUUCUCUCCAACUAUCAACUUUGCCUAGCUCUCUCUCAGUUUCUUUGUCACUGCAUGGUAUCAGGCUAUGAUAUGUUCUUGUACAUUUUGUACAUUUGCAUUUAUGUAUCUCUUGUUAGCCAUUUUGGUGUUAAUAGUGGACAUUUUACCAUUUAUAUCAUAGAUUGGACAAAAGAAUUGCAUUAUACAUGCCUUGUGUAUCUUGCAAGGACAUGCUGUAGUUGUGGGCUGCAAUUUUACAUCUUCAAUAUUAAACUACAAGCAGCCUCAAAGGGAACUAAUAAUUUAAGUUACUAACCACUAUUGAGUCAAACCAAGCAUAUCAUAUGAAGUGAUCUUGGUGUGGAAUUUCAUAAUGGUGGAGGAUGGUGAACUAGAUGAGUCUCAAAAAUUUCGUGUCCUCAUGGAUCUCUAAUUCUCUUUGCCGUAACCUUGGAUAAAGCCACAAGUCCACAUACACAACCUCUCAACAACAAAAGGCAAAUGUCCUCCUAAACACUGCCCUGAGGCUGAUCAUGUUGAAGAGAGCAUUGAAAAGGUAGGAAACUAUGAGCUUAUGUUGCAACCACACAUAAUAUGCAUAUGAGAGCACAGGCAAGAUAUUUAAAAGUAUAAUAUGAUAAAAAAAAAUCAGAACAAAAACCUCUAGGAAAUCUAACACUGCAUGAUAAUUAUCAAAACCUAACCUGCCCCCCCCCCCCCCCAACCUUUGAUGGUAAAGCAGGAUGAUAUUCACUAUGACAAAAAAAAUCUUAUCAUAUUCACACUGACUUCACAAACAUGCCAACAUGAUGUACCAAUGAGAACAGACGCUCAUGACUAAAUCAACUUCUUACUGUAACUUACCAAAAUCAUGUUUCAGCUUUUCAUUCAGACUGGAUAUUCUUGACUGAAUUUUGGACAACUUCGAGCUUAAGUCAUCAUAUUCCUUUCGGACAGUAGCAGCUUCUGGAUAAAUUAAAACACAAGAUUGCAUGAUUCUCAUCGCCACUCGUAUGAUUUUGCAAAGAAAAAAUAAUACCUGAUAUGUUCACUGGACGUCUGAAAAGGCUGAAAGCUUGAAGAACAUUAUUGACAGUCUGUUGAAUCUUGUCCAGCCAUGAUGAGCUACCAGAGACAGUUAAAUCUAAAAAGAAAUGGACAACGAUUAGCACACACAUAAACACCUCUAACAUGUUUUCUAAGCACUAAACAGUUAAGUGUCAGAGUGAUGGAAAAUUAUGGUUGCUCUCUUGGGAAAACUAGAAAGAAAAACCUGAAUAGUCAGCUUUGUCAUCUUCAUCAGAACUGUAGGCACCAGUAGGCUCUUCAUGAUCCUCUCCAAAUUCUGUAUGUGGGUCAUCUUCCAAAUCAUCAUCCUCAAACUUAUGAUCUUCAUCACUAUCUGAAUUAUAGCCAUCAUGAUUUUCUUCUGAUUCAUCUUCAUCAUGUUCAUGUCCUUCUUCUUUUGCUGUAUUAACUUCAUUGUUUUCUUCUGUAGCAUCUUCCUGAGUCCAGCGAGACGCUACAAGACGACCCAGCUCUUCUCUCGACAAUCCUUCAGUGCUGUCAGAAACUGGCCCCUGCAAGUUUAGAACAUAGAUGGUUAAUGCCAAAAUACCAAUCCAUGAAAAUUGACAUGUAGACUCUAGCAGGAAUUCAUAAACAGAGUUCUUUCUUCUGAUGUGAGCAGCUAACAAACCAUAAAUCAAUACAAAUAUCUGAAGCAGCAACAGCACACACUUCAAACCGGUUUUCAUUUUGUUUCAUAAGAGAGCAAACCAAGGAUCCAUAUUAAAUGCAUAAGGUUAACAAAGAAAAUAAUGUGAUUAUUCUAGCAAGAGAGGAAUCAACUUCCUUUCAACUUCAAUUGGUUCUUCAUUGAUCUUGUUGUUAGAUAACAGAUAUCCUAAUAUUGGCUACAAAUAUAUUUCAAACAACAGUUUUUUCACAUAUAAGUUCGUAAAAUUUUUAAAAAAAAUGUAGGAAAUUAUAGAUGCAAUAUCAUGUAAUUAAAUUCUUGAUACCCUGAGUUACCUAGUACAUCUGACAUCUUGCAAUCAUUGCUCAUGACAUCAUACUUCCAUCAAAUGUUGGCCCUUCCAUGAUUAAUAGAACAAGAUUUAUUCAAGCAGAAAACUGAACUACAAUGGAAACAAAUGCAACUAAUCACAGAAAACUGAACUUUUCCAGAUUUAAUAUCCCAUCUCUAAAUCCGCCAUCUUAUUAUCAUUGCUUGAGACAUCAUGUUUCAAUCAAAUAUUGGCCCUUCCAUGACUAAUAGAACAAGCUUUGUUCAGGCACAAAACUAAAGCACUAUUGAAACAAAUGCAACUAACAAGAGAAAAUUGAACUUCUCCAGAUUUCAUAUCCCAUUUCACAAAUUACCUUAGGAACUCUCAAUUAUUUCUACUGUUUCUUGCUGAACACGUGAUGACAAAAAAAUAUGCCUUGCAUAUGGACUGUACUUAUAGAUUAAAUUGUGAGGAUGUGUACCUAAAUAUUUUUCCAUUAUCAAUUAAGGAUGGCAUGAAGCAAUAAGUAACAUCAUUCAGAUAUUUCAAAUGUCAUGUGAUGAAACAAAUACAAUAAAUGUUAUGAUUUAAGCCCUUGACUACAUGUAGAAUUUUCAAUAGCACAAGCAGGCUUAGGCUUGAGAGAGAAAUAUGUGCCUGAAGGCCCUGAACCUCUGAACUCCAGUUGAAAUAAGUUUUUAAAAGUGCAAUUAGUUCAAAGUACAAAAAAUCCUUACACAGAAACAUGUUGACAAAAAAAAUAUAUACGUCUAGCCUACUAUAUGAUUCACUACUGUGCAAGUCUAAUGAGAAGAUGAAGGGACAUCUUUUGGUUUUCCCUUUAUGAGCAUGUUGACAAGUUUGCCGCACAUGUAUUACAAAUAAAUUUGAUGAUAAUCAAAUUCAGAAAUAAUUCUGUGAAGUUUCUGGUUCUUACCCAUCAAGGUUUUUUGUCAAAAUGUGAACAACCAACACAACUAGUAAAGUUAUCUCAAAGAUAUUUUAGAUAGUUGAACAAGUUCGACAUCAACACUCGACUGGAAAAUCUGCUGCAGUUUGACUUGGUGAAUAUAUCUAAGACACUUCAAUUCUUCAGAAUGAAGGUUGGAAGAACAAAAAUUGAUAAAAUGGAAGCAUCAAGAAUCAUGAUUUUGUAUUACCUGUUCUGCAACAUGCUAAUAGAAAAUUACAAAAGAACAUGGAAAAUAAUCAUUUUCCAUGUACAACUACAUAUUCUGUGAAACAACUAGGAGUUAUAUAAAACUGUUACCUGCUUUUCCACAUGACUGAAAGAUGACCCGUCACUUCUACCAUCAGCCUCAUGUCCAGAUUUGGCUAUAGUGUCAUCAUGAUCAUCAGCUACCUGCUUCAACAAGCAUGAAAACAAAUGCCAGUGAGAAAAAGAAAAGCGGGACAUCUUAUCGUUAAAAAUUAAUACAAAAACUUUCAGAUACCUUUCCCACUGCUUGAUUAUCAGAUAUCUCAGUUUCAGUAGUAUAAUCAUUUUUGUCUUCUACUGCAGAAUCAUGGUGAUCUUCCAUUGCAUCCUGUUAAUAAAGUCCAGAAUUAGGCUUUAGCAAAGAGGGUGUUACACAGCCAUGAACCCUAGAAGAAUAUGCACAACGUAAAACCAUUAAGCAACUGGUGGCAACUGAAAGGUCUUUAGAGUUUAAAACAGAGGCAAGAUGAUUAAUUAGGCAAAGAUAUAGCAGCAAACUUGAGUCCAUCCACUGUGUAGCUGAGUAUUGGCCUUACAGCAGACGCCAGCAGAUUGGGUGAGGAUCUAGUAGCUAAAACCUGUAGAAUGAAGAUUCAAGGCCAAAGCCUGGUCUGUCAAGACCAAACAGGCCUUUACUACUUUUUGGGGCACAUAUUCACUCAACUUCUUAAACUAGUUGCAGUAUUAAUUAGAACAUAUCUCACCACUAGCAAAUCAUUUUGGUUUCUGGGCAAAGUCAAGCAGGGGUUUUCAUAGAAGGGAUCUUAACUAGGUAGCAAUUUGAGUCAAUAAAUAAAUAAACAAAUAAAGGUCUGGUCAAAAUCAGGCCCUAAAAUAUAGAGCCAAACUUAGAUAAACAAAGUGCUAACAACCUAGCAGCAGCACUGAGCUAAAUGACAGGCACUUAGAAAAAGCAUGGGACAAUUUAUUAAUAUUAACUUAAGUGUAAAGUUUAAGAACAGAAUAGUGGCUUUUCAAGAAGAACAAGAUUGUGCAACAUCGACAGUGUAGACACUAUCAAUGUUAUCCUCUGAAUUUCACUGUCAGGUCUGAUGUCUGAAUUUCCUGUGUAAUGCCUUAAUAUCUUCAUCUCUUGCAUUUUACCAAUUCCCUUUUUCGUGACAAAUUUUAAAUAUUCAUCUUGGCCAACCAAACUGCAUCUAGUAGGAUGGUCUUAAACCUAUUAACACAGAAACAGGCAGCUAAAUCCUGAAACAGCAGCUGAUAAGAAAAUUAAAAAAUGGAAAAGGAAAUACCUAGAUGGGACAUGAUAUACCAACUAUGACUGCAGAGAACAUUGUUCACUUAAUUAUGACCACUAGCAAGUAUUAUACUGGUGGGAUCAUGGAAUGCCGUACCGGCCCGUACCGGCCGGUACNNNNNNNNNNNNNNNNNNNNAUCCGAACCGGCCGGUACGGGGCGUUACUGGCCGGUUCGGAGCCCGUACCGGCCGGUUCCGGCCUCGUACCGGUGCGAACCGGCCGGUUCGCACCGGACGAUUUUUUUUUUUUUUUAGAACCACAGCGCCGCGCGCUGUGGUUUUUGAAACCACCGCGUACCGGCCGGUACGGGACCGGUACCAACCGGUACGUACCGAACCGGACCGGUACCGUACCGGUCCGGCCGGCCACCGGUACGCCGACCGGUACCGGUACGGCGAACCUUGGGUGGGAUAGUGGGGUAUCCAACUGUCCUGAGUGUUAGGAGAGGAUGAGUCAGUCGGAAAAUGAACCGGAAUACGACAAGACAUCCACCAUCCCAAGUGUGGAGAUGCAGGGCAUCCCUUCCCACAGGAAACUGGGAUAGGCCGGCCCCACGGUAUACAAAACCUUGACCAAUAAUAUAUACUUUGAAAAUUAAAUUAAAAAUCUUUAAAAUUCUAAGUUGCAAUCAAAAGGUAUAUUGGAGUCCCUCUGUGUAAGAGUAAGAUCACUCAUAGAUUGUUGAAAUGAUCAUCUUUACCUGUUAAACAGACACCACUGGCAGUAGUGCCAAGUUGUAUGCAAAGCAUGCAAUGCAGCACUGUGGAUUCACAUCUUAUGCAUUGAAAAUCAGGAAGCAAAAGUACAAUAAACAAUUCUCACAUGCUGCUUUAAGAAAUUAAAAUGGUAGUAUAUUAGCAUAAUAAUAAUUGGUUUCCUUGCUGACUCACUGUUGCAUUUUGGUGAGAGUUCCUUUAGUAUCUUAUAGCAGGUUUUAGUACAUUUAGCUGAAGAGUUUGUAAAGGAUAUGUUCAAGCCGUACUUUAAGACUGGUGGUAAAGCAUAAAACUCUGUGAACAUAAAUUGUAAAAAAAAUUGACUAGAUAAUGCACCAAAAACCACAUUGAAUGAAGCAGUGCAAUAAAUACAUCGACCUGAUUAUGUAAUUCUGGAGCCUGAUCGGUGCUAUCAUGUGAAGAUUCCUUGGAUGCUUUCUUUAACUCAUUAGCUUUUGUUUCAGAUUCUUUGAGCCUCUUUUCUUCCUCUUCCUUUUUUUUAUGUUCUUCUUCCUCUGCCUUUUCAAUUCGUUCUUUUUGCUCUGCAUGGAAGGUCAAGAAAAAGCUUCUGUAAGAAAAGGGGCCAGUUCAUAGAUUUUACACUGUCAAACUUUCUUGUUCAAAUUAUUCAAACAAAUAAUAACAACAGAAAACCUUUAAGCUUCUGAACAAGCUCUUCGAGUAUCUUCUCUUCACUUCUAAGUUUUGACAAUUCGGCUUCAUCUUUAGCAAAUGCUUGUUUUGCUUUUUCUACUUCCUGCUUCCGAAUAGUAACUCCAUUCUGAAAUGUUGCUAUCUUCUUCUGCAGUUUCUCCCUGGCCACUUUACCGGCCUCCCAACAUGUGUUUGGACAGUUCACAUUGCCAUUAUAUUCAUCACUCCCAUCACAACAAUCUGCAUGUAAUGAUAUAAGGUGAAAAAAAGGGGGAUCAAGAACUAUAAAACUGCAGUACCGAAGAUUACAGUGGAAUGUACUUGUGAAGACACCACAAAAUAAUCAAAACUCAAGAACAUAACUUAUGAUAAAAGCAAUUAGUUGCACCAGAUUAAUCCAGCUCAAUAAAAUGUUAAACAAUCUGCCAUCAUAUGAAAUCUGUUUCUUGCACAAACCCUAUGUUAGAAAUCUCUCUCACACACAUUUAAAUCAUUGUAUAUUAAUCUAUGAAAGGGAAGUUACAGAUUGAGGGAAACACUUGUCAAAAUAACUUGAUAGAGCAUAUAAUGAUAUGCAUGAAAUUGCCAGUUAUGGCAUUUCAUGGGAUCUAAACUUAAUUGCAAUAACAAAUGGGCUACAAAGACAACUUUCAUCAAUUUAGUAGCUGGCUCAUACUAAGGAUGCAAUAAGCUACAAGAUGCAAGACCUAUGGAGCUCCUAGGCUAUAAAGUUAACAACCCCACAAUAUGAGCACCAACCUUGGCUUACAUAGAACAGAUCUAAUCAUCCAACAAAUCCAUGCAACUUCUAGAGGGGGGAAAAACUCUUGCUAACCCAGACCUAACAUGUCUCAAUAAUCAUAUGUAAGGUCGGCGGAAUCGGUACCGGGAUCUGUAGCAGUUGCCCUGCGGUAUAGUAUGGUAUGGUAUUAUGCCGUGCCAACUUGUGGUGUAUCGACAAAAGAGAGCCAGAGAGGGAAGGGGAGAGGGAGAAGGAAAGAGAGAAAAAGAGAGAGAAAGAGAGGGGGAGGGAGAGGGAAAGGGUGGAAGGGGGGGAGAGAGGGAGGGAAGGGGAGAGAGAGGGAGGGAGGGAGAGAGAGAGANNNNNNNNNNNNNNNNNNNNNNNNNNNNNNNNNNNNNNNNNNNNNNNNNNNNNNNNNNNNNNNNNNNNNNNNNNNNNNNNNNNNNNNNNNNNNNNNNNNNNNNNNNNNNNNNNNNNNNNNNNNNNNNNNNNNNNNNNNNNNNNNNNNNNNNNNNNNNNNNNNNNNNNNNNNNNNNNNNNNNNNNNNNNNNNNNNNNNNNNNNNNNNNNNNNNNNNNNNNNNNNNNNNNNNNNNNNNNNNNNNNNNNNNNNNNNNNNNNNNNNNNNNNNNNNNNNNNNNNNNNNNNNNNNNNNNNNNNNNNNNNNNNNNNNNNNNNNNNNNNNNNNNNNNNNNNNNNNNNNNNNNNNNNNNNNNNNNNNNNNNNNNNNNNNNNNNNNNNNNNNNNNNNNNNNNNNNNNNNNNNNNNNNNNNNNNNNNNNNNNNNNNNNNNNNNNNNNNNNNNNNNNNNNNNNNNNNNNNNNNNNNNNNNNNNNNNNNNNNNNNNNNNNNNNNNNNNNNNNNNNNNNNNNNNNNNNNNNNNNNNNNNNNNNNNNNNNNNNNNNNNNNNNNNNNNNNNNNNNNNNNNNNNNCCUCCUCUCCUCCUCUCUCUCUCUCUUCCUAUCCCCCUCUCUCACCAGUUUCUCGAACUGAGGGGCAGAAUUAUAUUAGUCCGCCUCCAAUGCGGCUCAGUGCGCCUUGAGCCAAGCAGUUCAGAAUGGUACUGCCUUCCAAGAUCAUAUAGUUGUGAUCAAGCCAAGACUACCAUUGGGAGCCUUAACCAUGAUCUUUAAGAAAUGUUUCUCCACCUUGCAGAAUUGGAAUUUUAAUCCUUUUUUUUGUAAAUAUUGCAAUUAGGGGCUAGCUUUGCUGGGACCUUCCUCACCAAUUCUUCCACAUUAUCUUAGGCCUUCUCUUCCUUUUUGGCCCUUCAACCCAACACACUCUCCUUACUAGGACCUCAAUAAUUCUAAGUUCUACACUUCUUUGAUGCCCUUAUAUUCCAUGUUAUUCUUUCUAAACUGAAGAUCAAUUUGACAAUCUUAGUAUACUCAUUUUCUCUGCUUGAACCCUUCCAAAUUGCAAUCUAUGACAUUUAGGAGUUCAUUAUUGUCCAAUAAUUUUUUCCUAGUCUCAAAGAUGUCGAGUGAUCACGAAACACUUCAAAAGUAUCACUCUAUGUCAAACAAGUUCUCUAAUUUGACUUCAUUAUCGGUAUAUCUCCACUCUUUCAUAUGCUAAAUCAAAUAUUACUACAAUGAUAAAGCAUCCUUUUCUUUCAGCAAAAUGAUUAAUGAUUAAAAUCAUCUAUUGAUCAAAUCUAGGCCACGGCCUAAACAUUAUUUACGUUUUCACUAAAAAUAGCAUUUGCAUAUAAUUUACAUCUAAUGACAUUAUAGACAACUAUUCUCCAAAUUUCACCCCAAAAAAUCACCUGUUCAACCUAAGUCUUCUUCUAUCAAUCAAUACUACAUAAUCUACAAAUAUAAUAAAUCAAGGAACUUUCUUUUGAAAAUUAGCAGCAAGUUCAUCAACAAUAGGUGCAAACAACAUAUAUGUCCUUAGGCCCAACCCUUAGGCCCAAUCUAGUUCCUAGAUAGCUAAUCAGAGGAUGGCUAAUAUUUUAAACAUUAGUACAUCGUUUAACUAGUUAAUCAUGAAGCUGAGAAAAACUAUUAUUUGGUUGUUGCUCAAUUAACCACACAUUUUUGCUGAGAUGGGAAAAAUGCUAUUGGGUAGGACAAAGCAUGAGUUAAGUGGUUGAGUAACAAUUUUGGAUUAGAGCUGAUCACGAGCCUCGGGCCUAAACUUUAUUCAUUUUUAAUCGAGCUUCGAGCCGGGCCUAUUUAAAAAUGGAGCUUUUCUGUGCCCAAGCCCAGCCCAUGAUCAGGUCUAUUUUGGAUUAUAUGGACAAAAAAAGGUAGUAAUCAAGAAAAGUAAAAGGUGAGGGGAAAAGGGUGAAAUGGGGAAAAAUAAUGAGGAGAGGGGAGCUUAAUCAGGUUAUUAAUGUUAUUUUUCCCUCCUCACUGAAACAUCUUUAACCAGGUUAGCCAGGUAAAUUGGCCCAAAAAGUGGUGGUGUUUAGUUGGUAGAUAGAUAACCACCCCCUAACCAGUAGUUACAGGCCUCAGUGUAGUUCCACCAAGAUUGAAUCACUGUUAUGGUGCAAUUUCUUCUAAUGACUUCCCUUUGCCCCUUCAUGCAUGUCAUUAACAUGAGGGCCAGAUUAAACAUUAUGUUUGAUUGCUUUAGGAAGGAAUUCAAAACAGCAUGGAAUUCAUGCAAAGACAGAAUACUUAAAGGCUCAGAAGCCCAUGCCUUGAUGAUUUUCAAAAUCAGGGAUGUCCAUAUUGUGCAAUGCAGCUAUAGGAAUGAGAACAACUGAGGGAAAAAAGAGACUAAGAUCACCCUUGAAAUAGUGGACUUGAAAAAUCCAACCACAAAAUAGUAUUAAAUAUUAUUUUUCCUCUUACUGUGAAUUGGUGCUUUAGCGGUUACAGUAAAAUUAAAGUAAUGUAGCAACAAACGUCACACUUUUCUCAUAUUACGUGUUAUCAGUAAAGAUCAAGAAACCACUUCUGGAAAAUGGGCCCUAUUUUAAAAUAAUAGAUAAAUGAGCAUAUAAAGCACGGGCGGUAAACAGAACGGUUCUUACCACAUAUACCAUCAUUCACUCGAGAAGAGAAGAUUGUCAGAGGAAUGUGACCCGCAUUCCGGCAAUAGAAUUUCCCUUGCGGACACGCUGAUGUCCCUGCAGGACAACACAACAUAACCCACCCGAUCAAAGAUCCAUUAGAGAGAAAAAAACCCUAAUCAAAAAUCAAGAAACACUAACAAUAGCCCCUACAAAUCCCAGUAAACAGACAUCUCAUGAAGCUCAAGAAAAUGACAAAAAAAAGGAAUAAAAUUAAAAAUCGCUGACCGGGUUCGUCGGUUCCAUCCGGGCAGUCGCAGAACUCGUCGUUUAGCUGUUCUUUCGGGAAUUUUUUCGAUCCAUCCUUGCAUUUGAUCACAUCCGAUUUAUAAUAACUCAAAUCUGACGCAUCGAAGCAUUAAAAUAAUCCGAAAACUCGAGGAAAAAUAAGUAAAUUCAAAAAGGAAAAAAAGGGAAGAGGCGAUCGAGAGGGUUACCUUGAGGAGCUAUCCCCAACGAUUCCCUCGACGGAAUCGAGGCCGACGCGGAGAUCCAAAUCAAUAGAAGACACGAGAUCGUCAGGGAAAUCCGGAGACGACCUCCCAUCGAUGGCUUUUAUGGAGAGCACUAGGGUCGUCCAAAGAGAGGAAGACGAGAGAGAGAGAGAGUAUGAGUUCUUUUGUUAUUAGACCGCCCGGCGACUGCAGCUUUCGUUGAGCUCCCGACUCCCGCGAGAGAGAGAAAGAGGAGGACCGGCGGGCCAAGCACCGACGGGAAAACUCGAGGUUUGCUGUUCUAUUUGGCCGAAUAGAUCCUGGCCAUCUGUUUUUGCUGAUUCCUGAGGGGGUGGGGAAGAUUUCUUUCCCUAUUAUGCAGUUGAACGUCCGUCUUUAGAUGGAGUUCUUGAUCUAGGGUGAAGAUUUCUUUCCCUUAUCACCCAGAUCUGGCCGUGCCUAGUGCGGUUAUUAAUUAAUCCUGAUUUUAGAACCUUAUAAAUUACCGGAACUUAGCCAUUCAUUUGACCAUUAUGGUUUGAUUUUUAGUCAUGCACAUAUUUAUACAGAAUUUAUACACACUUCUAUUUAUAUUAUAUACAUUUAUAUUUAUUUUUGUUGUUUAUAAUUAUAUAUGUAUUGGAGAUUAAGUAUGUGCAACCGUCGGAGGUCAAGAAUUAAAGAAACAGAUAAAUGUAGCCAGAUCAUUAGAGUGGCUAUCAAUUUCGGGUCAGUUUGAAUAUGAAAAUUUUAUAAAAUUCAUGGUUGGGCCGGUAAAGUAAUCUGUCGAGAUUUUUUUCUCAUUAACAAAAUUCACAGACUAAUCGGCUCCAAAGUUAUUUAUAAGUAUUUAUUAAACUUAGCCCAACCUAUAAUCCAAUAACUUGAUUUGUUAUACCGGCCAGUUUAUGAAUCUUAUAAAAUUUUUAGUCCAAUCAUUCAAAUUAGUUUUUACUAUAAAAUUUAUAUUUGAAUAUACUAAUUUAAUUUUGCCAAACAUGGCAUAAUUUAAUAUUAAUGAUCAUCACCACAUGUUCCAUCAUGAUCAUUAAUAUUAAGUUAGCAAGGCACUAUUUUAAUGUCAGAGUUCGCCAUGCGUGGUAGGUUGGCUAGCGGUAGGAACUCGCGGCAGAUCCAAUCCACGUAUUUUGUGGUUCAGUUUGGCACGAUAUGUCGACAUGCAAUGUGUACGGCGGCACCUGAUUGCAACCUGAACUGCUCCAGAAUCCAACACGAUUUGUGUCAAAAAAAAUCCAACACAGGAUGUUGGAUGGGAUACAUUCAAGUAAAAUUAAGGUGCGAUACAUGGUGCGUGCAAUAUUGCUUGGUGAAAUGAGUUCAUGUUGGAUAGGGACAAGGCGGCUUAAUCCAACAUAACGCUAUCUUGGUCCUACUUCCACGUCCCAGCAGCUGGUUUGGGUGAGACUCAUGGUUCUCAAACAACCCGCAAGCUGCAUAUCCAUAAAGCACCAUUUUAACCACGACCAACCCAUAUUACGUUUGCAUAGAACUCCUGAACCAUGCCUUGAUUGCCGUGGAAAAGGUAUGCGAAUGCCAUUAUAGCUAAGCUAAGAAGGCUGCAAAAUAAAUUCAGCUCAGCUAUGGAAUAGAAGACUAGUCUUUCAGCCUCCGCAGGCAUUACUAAUACUAGUAUUAUUACUACUAUUUUAAUAUUAUUAUUAUUUUAAUAAUAUUAUUAUUGUUAGAAAUAUUACUAUUAUUAGUACUAUUACUAUUAUUAGUAUUAUUACUAGUAUUAGUACCACUACUAUUAUUAGUAUUAUUGCUAUUUUUAGAAUUAUUAAUAUUAUUAGAAUUAUUAAUAUUAUUAGUAUGAUUACUAUUAUUGGUAUUGUUACUAUAAUUCAUAUUAUUGCUGUUACUAUUAUUAGUAUUAUUACUAUUAUUAAUAGUACAAUAUUACUACAAUGUAAUAUAAUAUUAUUAUAAUUAUAACAUAAUAUAUAAUUUAAUGUCAUAAUAAUCUAAUAUAAUACAACAAUAUAAUGAAAUAUAAUGGAUUAUAAUCUAAUCUAGUAAUAGAUUAUAUUAUAUUAUUAUUAAAUAUUAUAUAUAUAAUAAUGAUAUAAUAUUAUUAUAAUAUAAUCAUAUAAUAGAAUGUAAUAUAAUCUAAUAUAUUAUGUCUUAUAUUAUUAAUCGUAUAUUAUAAUAUUAUUAUAGAAGCAGAGAAAAGGUCAUGACUCAUGACCUCUUCACAGAGGGGAAGAGUUUCUUGUCUUGUGCAUGCUUAUCGUCGUAUAAAGCAAUGAACCGUAGUUACUGAGACAGUUGAAGCCUGAAAUUUUGGUUCAUACAUGUGACCUCUUUGAACUCGCAUAAAUAAUGUAAAAAUAAUGUAGUAUUUGGCAAGUCACAGCAGUAAGGACAAGGUGAAAAAGAAAGCAUGGAGUUCUGAAACAUAUGUGAAAUGUAUAAAGUUGUUCUCAGUAUGGGCAUUUAAACUAGUUCAGUGAAAUUGAAUUAUCAUUUAUCAACAACUUCCUACGGCAAAAAUCGACUGCCGAUGGGACACGAAACCGUAGAAAUGGAUGAGGAAUGCUUGUGCAGGUGGAAAGGUAAACUGCAUAGAACCAGCUGCUCAUCUUUAUUAGUCAUUUGGGAGCAUAGCAAGCAAAAAAAAAGAUGCAUAAGAAUGAAGAAAGCUAGAAGUUGAUAGGAGAACUUGGCAAUACCGGUGGCAACAAAAGAAGCAGGGAAUGAACCCAAACAAAUGGUGUUUGUCUUUCUGUAAUAGCAAGGUAUAAUGAACUAAAGGGCAAAAGAAAUCAAAAAAAGAGUUACAAGAUGAGGGAUCCAAGAAAGGUACUCCAUCACAGAUGAACAACAAACAGCAUUUGCACCAGGGAGAUCAACAAAAGGUACCAACAACAUAAAUUGGAGAAGCAGAGUAUUACUUUAAUGUCUGUGAUAAAGCUGAAGGUUUUUGCUAUUAAAGUUGAGUGGUGAAGUGUGAUAAAAAGAAUUAUGGACGAGCAGCAAUGCAAGUUGACAAAAACAGCACAAAUGAUCAUGAAACAUCAUUCUAACUAAUUAAGUCUNNNNNNNNNNNNNNNNNNNNNNNNNNNNNNNNNNNNNNNNNNNNNNNNNNNNNNNNNNNNNNAUUCUGCCAAUGCCUGAUAGGUUGACUAAAAUGAAUGUUUUUUUUUUUUUGUAAAGGGGAGGCAGAAAGGAGCCACCCCGCUUUUAUUGAAGAUUAAUCAUAUUUACAACAGAGAUGAGUUAUAUUGUCAAGAGAGGAGAGGAACAGAUACAAGAAAAAGAAGCUAAAUGGUUCCAAACUAAGUGUCUGAUUAUCAGUAGAAGAAAGAACCUCAUCCAGUCCAAUAAGCAGAAUCAUUUAUUGCCAGAAUGUUCCAUGCAAUUUCACAAAAAUUUUAACAAAAAAACAUCAGAAUCUAGAAUGGCCACAAGCUUCAAAUUUCAAAAAAACUUGAGAAUGUCUUUGACAUAAGAAACAACCGAUUUUCCACCACCAAUUUGCAUACCAUGUCGGUACCUCCUCUGUAGCAUAAUAUAAUACAAUCUGCUGGAAGGCAUAAGAUGACAAAUAGAAGCUGUAGCUGAAGGGGACAAAGUUGCAAUUCUUCACUCAUUGAAGAGGCUGAUUGCGUUUCAGAACUGCAUGAUAGUUGAAGAGUAAGCAUGACAUAAUAUGCUCCAAUCAUAUUUGAUGUCCAAGAGAAUAUCUUAUAGAAGAUAUAGCUGGCUGAAAUCUCCAUCAUAUGCAACCAAUGGCAGAACCAUACUGAAAAGGAAGAGCAGGAUCCUCUGCUCGAGCAGUCUGAAAUGAGAGCAUUCCCUGGCACAAAAAAAAAGAAAAAAUCCAGCUGAUAUAGUUCAAACUGUAUUAGUCAUCCACAAGCUUAGAGACAACAUUCUGCACUUUGGACCAAAUUCUUCCUAACUCCAUCUGCGUAAUAGGAUCGCAUAACACCGCCCAGUCAUUGAAAAUUCUAAGUCCCUCUGCAGUAAUCGAGGCAAUUGAAGAUCUUUUAUUUAGAAAAAAUCAAGAGUUCUACUCCUUCUAGCAAGUCCAACAUAUAGUAGCAAUCAACAUGAGAAUGACAGGCUGAACAUAUUUUGUAAAAUGGUUCAACCUCCAAUCAAUGCAUAGAUUUUCAAAGUUUAGUUGAGAAUGAAGUACCCCAAGAGACAAACAAAUGGUCUUCCAUAUAGUAGAAAAGAACUUACAGGUGCAAAAGAGAUGAUCAACAGUCUCAUUUGUAUCAUGGCACAAAACACAACCGUCAAGAUUCUUACCUAAUUUUUUUCCAAGGUUGUCUCUAGUAUUAAGCUUCUUUUUCCAACACAACCAUAUAAAACAAUUGAUUUUAAGUGGUAUUGAAAGCUUCCACAAUGAGUUAGCAAAUCUACAUUUGAUACCCUUGGUGUUCAAGAAGUGGUAAAGUGAUUUUGUGGAGAAGGAUCCAUUGCUACUCAAUUUCCAACAUAUUUGAUCUUCUACCUGAUAAAGAGUGACUGAAACCAAGAGAGACGAAAGAUUAACGAACUGGGUUUUGGCUUCCAAGAAGAUAGAGGAUGGUCUCCUAAGCUUCCAAGACAUAGAAUGUGGGUUAUAGUGAUCGGCAAUAGUGCCAUUUUUUCUCCUAUUAAGAUUAUAUAAAGCGGAAAAUAGGAAUUGGAGGGGUGCAUCACAAACCCAAGGAUCUUUCCAAAAUAGUGUAUUAUGUCCAUUGCCAAUUUUGAACUGAAUUCUAUUCCAAAAGGCAGAAAAGAGCAUUAAUAACGUCACGCCAUAGAUUAGAACAUCUUCUAAUAGGUUUCCUAACUCAUAGAUAAUUUGACUUUUCUAGGGUAUGCAAAUUGUACUUACUUUUUCCUGAUUCCUGGGUCAUUUGAAAAAUACCUCCAUCCCCAUUUUGAUAAUAGGGACAUAUUAAAUUCAGCCAGAUCCUUGACUCCCAAACCUCCAUCCUUCUUUUGAAGACAAACUGUACUCCAAUUAACCUUACAUGAUACUCCAUGACACCUUGAAGAGCUUGACCAUAAAAAGAUCUUCGAUAUUGAUCAAUCCUCUUGAUCACCCAUGCCGGAAGCUUAUAAAUUGACAUAUAAUAGAUAGGGAGAGAGGAAGAGUACAGAGUUGAUUAAUGUUAACCUUCCAUCAAAAGAUAAGAAUUUGUUUUUCCAUGUUACUGAUCUAGCUUCAACUCUUCGAAUCAAGACCAUCCAAUUAGCUUUAAUAGGUUUACCCCCACAUAGAGGAAACCCAAGGUACUUGAUUGGAAGAGAUGUGCAACUACAAUUUAGCCAACCUGCGCGUAUUGUUACAUCGAUGUUAUCCUAUCCAAUAGCUGUGAUGGAGCUUUUAUGAUAGUUAAUAGCAAGCCCAGAUACCAUUUCAAAAUACUAGGUAAUGAUCUUCAAAACAGCCAUAUACUCCUUUCUAGCACGAGUGAACACCAGAGUGUCGCCUGCAUAAAUGUGAAUGAGAAGCCAAAUCCAUCUCUUCCCUAUGUGCCCUCACUAAAGAAAUGGUCCUUCUAGAUCCUUGUGUCUCGAUCUCUUUCCUCUAAACUGUGUAUAAUAGAGAAAGAAAGCAAACUCAAAAUUGACUGAUCCUUUAGCUGUCCAUCUCAAUAAUCAAUGAGACCACAACAUCAAAUCAAUUAUGCGCGCAUCAUGAAUUAAAUGAAAGUAAUGCUAAUUUUAGACCGUUUGAAUAAAGAGACUUCAGCAUAUCCUUCCAACUUGGUUUGUUAUGGAAAUUAUAUUAUAAAAGAACAAUGCUACAAGAUCCCUCAUUAUGCGCGCAUGAAUAAUUCUCAUACCAUGCGGCAAGAAUAAUUGGAACAACUUACAAAAACGAUUACCAACACAAAAUUUGGUUGAUUGUAAAGCUGCCAAAUCAGCAAUUAUGGACUUAUCGAACAUUUCAUGUAUGCAUAAUAGGCAUCCAUAGACACUUUGCAUACGAUCGAAGAACAAUGCCCACCUUAAAAGUUACCACUGGUUAGAUGGUGCAAUUCAUUCUUUAAUAAGUUGUAAAUUACAUUAGAUCUUCAUCACAACAUCUAACUUCCAUGGCUGAGAGCUUCUUGCUCAUUAAAAAUUCGUUCAAAAUGAUAAAUAAGUAGCACUUGACCAAGAUAAGAUAGUUUUUUAAACUACCAACCUAUCAAGUUGGAGGCUGAGCUAUGAUAGCUCAUUCCUUGUGUUUGAGGGGCGAGAAGAGUAAGCCAGAACUUUUGAAUCAGAUGCUAGAGGGAAUAAUCAAUCUAUCACGCAGAAAAAAAUCAAUGUCUUGAAAUCCACGGAUGCUGCUUCCUAUCUUUAGCGAGAGGGUCGACCUCGAUUCCAAUAUCCCAAAUUCCAUCGCGCGUGGGCUGUGGACUCCACACCCCUUCCAACCUCUCUUUAGCCCUCACGAUGGAAUGGAAUCGGACCCUGUUCUCCACCUCACUUUUCCUUCCUUUUUUUUUCCAAUGGACGCAUACCUCACUUUCUUUUUUCCAAUGGAUUGGAUCUUCUUUUAAUUCUAUAUCUGAAACACCAGACCACCUUCUCCAAAAAGAAGCUAGGCUACGGCUACCAACUAAAAUACACACAUUCCACUGAACUAGAUUUUUGCUGCAACCAAAAUAAAAGCUGUAAUUUAACAUCUAAAAUUACAGGUAAGAGGUUACCACCAAUUAAAAUAAAGCCAACUAGUCUUCCAAGUUUCAUAUUUGUCCCCUCUAUGAUCCAAUUAUUCAGGUAAGACGUUACCACCAAUUCAACCAAGUUCAUAAAUACUGAUAGGUCAUGUCAUAAAUCUUUAAGACUCACAGUUGAUUGUGUCUUUACCAUGAGGGAAUGGUAUAUAUUGUGCUUUCAAGAAACCUUUCAAUGGUAUUCUGUGAUAGUCUGUUUUAAAUUUAACAUCUAUCUUUGGGUUUCUGAAAUAGCCUAUAAAAUAUUGCCAAGUGUUUCAGGAUAUGGUCAUAUCUUUAGAAAUCUUGUAUUGGAUAUGGAAAAUUGAUACAGAACUGCUUUAAGUAAUGACAGAUCUCUAAUUCCGAAGCAAAGGCAUAUAUUCCAGUCAAGAUCAAUGGAUAUAAUCCUGCUAAUUCUUUUCACGGAUGAGAAGGAUUCUUUCAACUUUGUCAAUUUCUAUUUUAAUAUUUUAUUCUUUUGGAUGACGAUGGGGUGACAUCAUAUGCCAUAACGAGCACAGUUUAAAGAAAUGCAAUGAUAAGAACUCGGAUGUAGCCUUAUUAAUAUAUAAACCUGUUGCAAGCAAGAUAUUCUCCAUCGGCCCCAAAUGUAGUAAUCUUGAGAUGAGGGGCAGGUUUUGUGCAGAAUCUUAUACUCAUGCCAAGAGAAUCAUAUCAAUUCAAGAAAUAAAAAAAUUCUUGAUAUCCAUGAUGACUAGUUGGUCUUAUUACUGGUGGAGCAGAGUAUUGGUCUCUUGUACUUUUCUAUCCUAUUAUUUGUUAAUGAUGUCUCAAUCUAUAAAAGCAUUGUCCAUGUCUUCACCAGGAAAUACUUACAGAUGAAAAACAAGAGUAAUCAAGGACCACCUUCUCUAAUCCAUUGUAGACAAAGAGGUUGCUGAAGUAUGUGGGGGCAUUCUAAUCCUAUCUAGUGAUUUGAGGGAAUUUAUGCAUUGAACGAUCUGGGAAAUCAAGUAUCUUCCCAUCCGAGAUAUACAAAAUGAGUAAGUUUCAAGCAAGAAAUCUGAAACAAACAAAAAUAGCAAAGCAUAAGACUUCCUCACCUUAACAUUGUGUGGAGCAAAAGAUUUCAUUGCUUGUGUGAUAAAACGAACUAAUCACCUGCAGAUUGUAAUAACCUAUCUAUAAAAGAAGAAGACAGCUACUAAUGCAACCACAUUGAUGAAUGAAACAUAUAAGGAGGACUAGGUCCCCAGCAUGACAAAAUUGAAAAUCAUUCGACGCUACCACGGUAGUAAUCAAUAAUCAUAUGAUAGAUACUGGCAAAUUGAUAGUCUAGCAAGGAGUUAGAGGUUGUGAAAGAUUAGUCACUGCCAUACACCUUUGUGUAGGCCCCAACUUUACUCCUCAUUCCUGCUUGAGCCAUGGCAAGGAACUUGUGCGCAUAAACCAUAGCAGUACACAUGCAUUUCCAACCUUUUUAUUCAUGUAAUUAUGCUGAUAUCGACAAGCCAACCGGUCUUUAGACCAACAGCUCUGAAGUAUGAAAGUACACGUAAUAUCUUUUUUAUUUCAUUUUGCCCUNUUUGCUUAAACCCAGUACAAAUUUUGGCAUCAGAGUGUCUGCGGCNNNNNNNNNNNNNNNNNNNNUUCUUGAAUUUGAAUAAGUACCAAACUUGACAGAGGAGCAAAAGAGAAUUGGAUGCUCAUUCCAUAUUCCAUUCCUUGCUUUCAAGCAAUCUCAAGGAAGCAUCAUUAACAGCAUAGUGUUUUUUUUUAAAAAAAGAUGGAUCCAAUUCUGCUUCUGGAUGCACCCAGUCAAACAGAAUUUUCAAACUUCUAUCAUCGACUAAUACCUAUAUUCCUCCAUCGACUCUAUCUGCUGAACUCCGAGUCUGUACCGACUGCAAUUACUUGAAUCCAAAAGCAUCACAAACCAACAACCAAACGUGUCCCAUCAAGUCGCAAAGCAAACAAGGUUUCCACGUGAGAUGUACCCUAGAGCUUAGUUUAACAUGAAGUUCAGGAAUCUGGGAGCUUUGCAAGGUGUGAAGACAUUACAUGACAGACCUCUAUGUCAGAAAAUUCUCCUCAGGAGCAUAAGGUUCCUUCUUUUCCUUACAGGGACCAACGUAAUGGAAAGAAUUGAUUUUUAUCGAUUUAUUCCUUUACACACAUUACAAGUGAAAGCUGUUCUGCAAAGAGUUGCUAGUGCAGAAUAAAAGUGGAAGUGUUGGCCUGAGAAUUGACAACCAAGUUGAAGAACAGGGUCCACAGAUAGUAAAAGCCAGAAGGACAAGAUCCCUUUUCGAGUUGCUGUGAAGAUUGGACGGGGCUGUGUUUUGUUCAAAUGAUUCCAGAUUUUUCCAGAUUCUCCCCAAAACUUCCUUAUAAGGAGAGCCUUGGAGGCAGAUCUCACCAUCAUGAGGAGAUAUAGAAGUUGAAGUUCCUUUUCUGAACAACAGAAGCAUUAAGGAUGUAAGGUAUGCAUGCAUCAGCUUUCCAGAAAUAGUCAGCUGACAAACUCCAAGCAAAUCAGGUUGUCAGAGAUAUGCAGGUCCAAAUGGAUAAUAGAACCUGAAAGGCAAAAGGAAAGAGAGGUAAGAAGCCAAAACUAAAGCAAGUUUGUUGUUAUUUGAGCAGAGAUGGUCUGCCUUCUUUCUUGAUGAUCUCAACCUGAUGUCAUUUUAUAAGCAGAAGAUGUAUCAUCAUCAUCUUGAAGGUCACAGCAACCUCCUUGCUUCUAGAACAACCUUUCCUCCAAAGAAGCAUUUGUUUUUGCAAGGCGGAAGUGUUCCUGGAGAGUCAGGACUGGUUCUCUCAACUGAUGCCAAACCUAGAUUGAAAUGGACACCCGAGCUCCAUGAACGUUUCGUAGAGGCAGUCCAUCAACUUGGUGGAGCAGAUAGUGAGUAUAUGUAGAAAGAGAAUUUCAGAAGAAAUAAUGCAAACAUAGUCUACUGUAAACACAAACAGACCCUGUCCUGCCAGCUAAUUUAUUAUCAUUGUCUCCUGCAGAGGCUACCCCUAAAACAAUCAUGAGGCUGAUGGGCAUUCCAGGACUAACUUUAUAUCACCUAAAAAGCCAUCUGCAGGUGCUAAUAGACUUUUUGAUUCUUGUUAGUUGUUUGCACUGGACUUAUUAUUUUUUGAUUGACAUUUGCCUUGGAUUUGUUGAUUCUUGUUUGAUGUUCAUAUUACGAGGACUAAGUUUAUUUUUUGGAGUUACAGAAAUACAGGCUUAGUAAAAACCUCCAAUCUCAAGCUAAUACUGGAACCACCAAAAAUGGUAGGUCAGCAUCCUAGAGCUUUCCUUGGAUUUUCCAAAGUAGAAGAAACAAUUUGACAAGAGAUUUCUUGUAUGGUAGUCGUAGGUUGUACGCUUGCAGCAAAUAGGACAGGUGAAGGUAAUGGAUCACUCAUGAGCAAUACUACUGCAGCAUCCCAGACAAACAAGUAAGAGACAGAAAAUACUCUAGAAUGUUGUUAAUCAAUGAAAACCUUCAACUAAUAGUUUGUCAAUUUCAGAACCAUGCUGAUAAGUGAAGCACUUCAGAUGCAAAUUGAAGUGCAGAGGCGGCUGCACGAACAACUUGAGGUAAGAGCAAGAUAUCAUAGUUCCAUUACUAAUUAAUAACAAAAUAAGAAAGUCUGUAAUGUCUCCUUUGGAAUAACAUAUUCUAGAUUUUUUUUCAAAAAAAAAAUCAACAUAAAAUCUCCUAAGACAUCAAACUAAAAUUAAAAGACGAGCUUCAUUGUUGACAGGCACCCAAGAUUCUCUUCUGGAAACAGACUCAAACUGGAUCUUCAUUUUCAUUAGAAAAGGCAUGCUUGUUUUUGAAAAAUCAAUCGAAGGAUUUGAAGUUUUCUGUGAACUGCUUGUCCUGAUGUAACAGAUAGUACAAUGUCUGGCCUUGUCAUGGAGAAGUAUAUAUGUAAGAGAAAUGUUAGAGAGAGAAAGGGCUAGAGAUAAGAGAGAGAUACAGAGAUAAUUUGCAAUUGGCUUCACUUUCCUAUCACCAUAUUCCAUGUAAACUAUUUUGUGCUUUUUUUUUGAGAGGAAACUAUUUUUUGCUCUUUAAAAUGCACUUGCCAAAUCAUUAAACACCUGUUAUAAUGAAACUAUUUUUGGGUUAUCAAUUCAAAAACCAUGUUGGGUUCAGGAACAAUAGUGGAAGACUGCCAUACACCACUAUUAGAACUUUUUUGCCAUCCAAAUAGAGAGAUAUGAUAAUUGGUGUUUAGCUGUUGCUUUAUUCCUGACUCCAUAUCUUGACUGAAACUUAUUUUGGAUUUAUAUAGGUGCAAAGACACUUGCAGCUCCGGAUAGAGGCACAGGGACAGUAUUUACAGUCAGUGCUAGAAAAGGCCCAAGAGACUCUUGGAAAGCAAAAUUUGGGUUCUACAGGGCUGGAAGCAGCCAAAGUGCAAUUAUCAGAAUUGGUCUCUAAAGUCUCACAUGAAUGUCUUAAUACUGCAUUUCCGGGUUUGGAAGAAAUUUCCGGCCUGCAUCCCCUGCAAGCUCAUGCUGCUCAAUUUACUGAUUGUUCGGUAGAUAGUUGCUUGACCUCAUGUGAAGGAUCACAAAAGGAACAAGAAACAAAUUAUGUUGGUGUGGGAUUGAGUACCUAUCCUGGCAAUUCACCCCUAUGCCUGCAACAAUUCAGAGCAGAUACUGAGCUUGAACGGGCUCAACCUGCAUGGCAUGCAGAUUUUAAUGCGCAGAAGACAUUUUCUCCAUUCAUUGUACGAGAUUCAGAAGGGACUGUUUUCCCUGCCCAGAGGGACUCUAGAACCCUAUCAAUUAACAUGAAGGCUCAAAGAGAGAAAGUAGACAGCAGCACUGAUUCUGAGGCACGACGAAAAGAAAGAGACAGCAAAGAUACUUUUCUUGAAGCAAGCAGAAAGAGACCUGCAGUCCUACAAGAGAGGGGAAAGGAGCCAAAUGAGUUUGGCCUGUCAAGUAUGACACCCAACUGGAUCUAAAUGCCCAUGAAGAGAAUGAUGGUCUUCCAAAUUCCAAACAGUUUGAUUUAAAUGGCUUCAGUUGGAGCUGAAAUAUGGCAUGAAAGCAACUCAUGGCAGAGAGAGAUGAACCGAAGGGAUAAUGCGAAGUUCAUUUUUACAGACUCUUACAUAUACCAUACGUAUUGCAGCUGCAAGUUCUAUCUUAUCAUCCAUCACAGUUAGCCAAAAAUAAGUGAUGGAUAUGGGGAUGAAAGUUGAUUCACAAAACGUAUUUCCCAGGCAGUAGCCUGAGGGUGCAUUACGAAUGAGUAUGAGAGAGAUUGUCCGAGAUAACAUUAUGUUCUCUGAGGUUUGUCAAUGGUAUCAUUGGAAUGUCUUACUAAGCACCAUGGCUAAAUGUUUUACCUCUUGUAGGUUAUUAAAAAAUAAACAGUGAAUUCAUAUUUACAGCACUACUCUAAAAUUACUGCAAUAAUAAAAAAUAAAGAUCUUCUCACUAUAUAGCAUACAAGAAACUCGGUUUCUGUAAUGCAGUCAUCAAAGUGUCAUUGACUAGGCUAGUAGAACCACUGAAAAUUUUCAAUAUUUGUAGUUGGUCUAAUAAAAAAUUAUAUACAGAUGCAUCUCAAAAAGUGCCCUAACACUAAUCUUAGAAUUCAUAUUCACAUCAUCAAUUUCAGAACGGUUGCUACACCAAAGACAAGGUACCUACUGAUUAAAUAGCAGAGAAAAAUAUUGAAUCUGAAGAUAGCAUACAGCUUUAAUAGUACCAGUAAAAAUCAGAUAAGCAUGGCAGAGUUGGCAGUUAGGAGGUAGACUAUACAUGCCCAUACUGCAUUUUCACUAGAUUUUGUCAGCAAUAAGGGGUUAAAUGCUCUCAAAGGGUACACACGAGUUUCUUUCUUUAAAGGAUGAAGCAUGGCAUCUCUAGAAAUAUUCUUACAGCCUUGCUUUUAGAAUUAUACUCAUUACAAACUAAAGCAAUAAUCACAGGGUACGAUAUAUAUUAAGACCGUUAAAGUACAGGCAAUUGAAACAAAUGUUCCUGUUCCUAUCCUAGCACAACUUCCUAAAACAUUUAAACCAACGCUAGACAUAAUUCUAGACCUAAUGACACCAACACAAAUACAAAAUAACACAAGCAAGUUAAAGUAACCAUAAUGCUUACUGCUGGAUGAUACCUUAUACAACACUGGUCAGCUGUAAUCCAGAUGCCACUAUCUUCCAUGAAAUGGAUCCAACACAGUUAAAAUAAUCCCAUUUGAGUUUUCAACCUGUAGGUUUGGUUGCGCCAGGUCAAUCUUUUCUACUGCAUUAUGUAUCUCUGAUGUUGUUAUAAUUAUUUUCAUUUUUUAUCCAUCAUAAUCUUUCACCAUAACAACAAAAUAGCACUAACAGUAUUCACAUCUGAACAAAGAAAUACAGCAUACAAGAAUGCGACACCAUCAAACAAAAAUUCCCAAAAUCAUGAAGAAGAUUAUUGAGCAAUUCAGUGUGCGCAGAUUAACAAAAUAACUCAAGAAAUUGGCCAAAAUUAUUUCCCUUUCUAAAAAUAACAAAAUCUUACAAUAGAUUAGAAACUUUGAGAUUGAAGAUUGAUCAUCACUAUUUGGCAUCUAUUUGUCAUGAAUUUCAUGCUAUUGAAUGUAAAAUGGAAAGUCCAACCUACAUUUGAACCAAAAUGGCAUGCAUAUAGAUGUUGUCUUGAUGAAAAUGAAAAAAAAUAAAGACAUUUUUGAUGCAAUCAUGAUAUUUUGUAACUCUUCAAUGGAGUUACAAACAUAGUUGUACAUCAAUAUCCCACCUAAAUUUAUUAUUCUUUUUCUAUAUGCAGUUUAUUUAAAUUAAACAGGUAUCACUCAAUUCCCUUGAAUCAUUCAGACUUAGAUGUCAUACAGAGCUGAUUUAUGUCCUGUAUCUUCCUAUCUGAGUGCUACUGUUUCUUCAUUUUAAAAAAUUCAUUUAAAAAUAAUCAACAAACUCUUAAUUUUAAUAAAAAUUACAUAAAACAUAAUUACAGGGUACAAGCACAAUCUAAUUAAUGGAAAAAAGAAAAUUAUAGAAAAGUUUGACUGAAAACAAAAAGAUUAAGAAAAGAACUUAUCUAACCUAUAAGGUAACAUAUCCAUUUCCCUUGGCACCUUUCACAUAUCACUGCAUGGUAACCAUGGGCAAACACAUUUUCGACUAUCAGCCUUCAAAACCACGCUCUUUUAGUUGUAUUGUUGGAUAUGAGGGACUGUACAAUGAAUCAUGUAUAGUUCUAGUGUGCAUGCACAUAAACUGAAUAUACAACGAUUCCCUCUCAUAUUACAUGGGAGAGGAAAGACCAGUAGCAACUGAAAGAAAAGCGGCAAUAUAGUUUCACUGCAUUAUUGCAAUACUCCAAAUCUUGCUCUUUAAUUACAUUAUCAAAAUUGAGAUUCAUCUCCCUAGCUUUUAGUAAUACAUUCAAGCUUUCUUACCGAGGGAUUGCACAUCCAUCAUUGGAAUGCCAUCACCUUAUUGCCUCCUACAUGGUAAUGCCAUAUACUGUCAAGUGUCAAUCAAUUGCUGAAGUCUGCAGAACUUGUCAUGAACAAUUGCUUGAACACUUCCUAGAUUGUGGUCUUGCUCGGACAAACCCCAGCAGACUCCUUGAGAGAAAGAGUUGCAGCUAAAUCAGGACUUAUUGGUGACAUGACUGUAACAGCAAUAUAUGCUGGAAAUUUUGAAGGUUUUAUAAUGGCAGAAUCUGCCUCACAUGAUAUAUGUAUGUAUACACACACACACACACACACACAUAAUAUUCAGAAAAUGAGCAAGAAAAAGAAUAAAAGGGAAAUUGAGCAGUGAGUUCAUGCAAAAGGAAUAAACACAAAUUUAUUCCUCAUGUUUAAAAACAUUUAAAAGGUCUUGCCAUACCACUCAAAUGAAAAUGGAACUCAGCAGAAUGCUAAUGUCCAAUCCACAAAAGAGCACAAGCCGAAACUCUUUCAGUGCCCCCAAAAUUGAGAAUUAUCAAUAUCCACCAGAAAGACGAGCUAAUCUACUUCAGCAAGAUGCCACUUUUAUCCUAGAUGAUGAUCAAUUACAAAAACUGAAAAGUUAAAAGAAAGAUCAUAACCAAAGAUGAGGUCAGCUUGAUUCUUCAGCAAUAGACAGCAAUAGCUAGUAUCUGCGAUAUCAAGUCAGAAAUAUGCUAGCUUGUGAACUAAUAUUAAGAUCAAAUUAAUCCAAAGGGAAGUGCAAGAAGGAUCCAAGACUACCAGCAUGUAACAAUUCUCAGGACAUAUUGAAGCCACUAAUUCAAAUUCAACAUGAAGGAAAUCAGGAAUAUGGGUGAUAAACGACUGGCAUAUUGUUAUUAUAAUCCAAUGUUUACAGCUUAUUACUAUGAAAGAACCAAAUAUCGGUAAGCAAGAAAUAUAAGCUGGCUACUUCUUAAUUCUACGAACUUUCUUAGGCCCCCAAACCUCCAUUCUGCCCUCCGGGCAUCCACAAGGUGCGCGAAGGAUAAGAACAGUACGGCCAUUUGUCGGGGCCAUCUUCUUGAGCGCAGCUUCCAAUUCCUUGCGAUCCUCUCCUAGAUCCAGCGGGCGAGCCCCCAACACCUCCUCCAGCACAGGCGGCAAGCACUUCACACACUUCUCUGACUCGAGCUGGAUGUCGAAUUCAGCUGCCUUGCGGAGACCUUUGCAGUAAGGAUUCCCGCAUUUCCUCGGCCUGACGAAAAUCUCCCACACGGCGAGCGCAGUGACGGACAUCAGAACGAAUGCGGCAACGGCAGCGGCAGCAUACCCGACCGGGGCAUCGUAAAUGGCAUCGCCGAUGAGGUCAUAGGUUGCAGGGAGAAGCUCGGAGGCUUCAUGGAAGAUGAACUUGAAGCACGGGAGGGUGAGAACACCGAGGGCGCCGAGAACCAGGAGCAGCAUCACGACGUCGAUGACAGCGAAAAGCGAGUGCUCGCAGAACGGAUGGGACAGUGGGCUCAAGGACUUGCUCCCCUUCGUGAGAGAGUGGUUUUGGUUGCUGGAGUUCGCCGCCGCCAUGAUCCGGUGCUGCUGGUAAGCUCUGCAGAACUCGAUCAGGCUCCGACAAUCAACCAUUGCUGGCGAAUCAAUCGAUCAAAAUACGGCUGCGUUGCGGUGUCAUGCACAAAGACUGAUUCGUCACAAAGAAAAACCCUAAAAUUUAUAACUUUUUUGAGCUCUUUGCGGCAACUAGAUAGCAGAAGAAGUCGAAUGAAACAGUUCUGAUUUCCCCAAAUCAAAACAAACCGCUGUUCCGAUAAUUCCAAGAACAGACUAGGAAUUCGAAAUCACUCUCAUACAUUAAUCUCACGUACCGAUUGCCGCGAUCCGACCGACAUCCACCGGGAAGCUCGUUAAGAAAAGGGAGACUUUCUAGAAACGAUAGCGGGACCGAACCUGAUGGGAUGGGAUUCUCUAAUGCGAGAUUUCCUCCAUUCGACCUUCUUCCUCCUAUCUCGGCUUACUUAGAGGCUGCGACCGGGGGAAUACGUCCUAAGUCUCGACGCAAUUCGAUUUGACGUCUGCGGAAAAAGAAGCAGGUCGUGGAUUCUCCAGGCAGAGAAAGAUAUAGAGAAAGAGAUUGAUACGGUAGCGUAAUAAAAAAAAAGAUUGCGGCAUAUACCGCGGGAUGCGAAGGGAAGAUGGUGAAUCUUUCAAUUCCACAUUUCCACGUCAUCUGGUGCUGUAGUUGGAAAUGGCCGAAUAUGGUCAAAAAAACGUCGUCUCCAAGAGAACUAAGUUUUUGUUUUUUUUUUUACUUCUUGUUAACGGAACCUUAGGAUUGCCUGACUUUGUAUGGUUGACGGUGGGAAUCUAUCACCGUAGAUUUUUGAAAUCGACCAGUUAGAUACGGAAGCAAGAGAAUUGACAAAUGCGUCUCUAUUAGAUUGUCAUUUUAUGAUCUAGUGUGUUAGCUAGAAAUUUUAUAUUAUAUCUUGUGUUACUGGUUUUGGUGGUUCUACGAUUCUUACUCCAUGGCUUGGAUAUGAAGCAAGUUGCAGUAAUGUAAGGCGGUGAUACAAUGGUCAAAAUGAAGAUUGGGAAGUGAUUGAUCAUGGAGUGACAUCAAAUUGUGGACUGAGAAUUGAUUUGCACCUAAAUUCUAUCGUUUCGUAUUAAAAUUGUCAUGCAUAACUUUAUAAAGUCUAAGGAAGGAUAUUUGUGUCAACCUUUUCGAUGAAUUGCAAAUCACAAAAUUGACAUUUAGGGCCUCACAGUCAAUUGAAUCCUUGCUUUUUUGUUACAAAAAAAACAAAAAAAGGUGGUUUAGAGUCAGGAACUCAAAAGAGUAUGUUUGAAAAAUUACUUAAAAGGAGGAAUUAGAGGAAUUUCAUACUUUCUUAUGAAAAUUUUGAAUCUAGCAUUAACAGAAUCUUCUAGACACCAUCCAACAUCCUCUUGCAUCGCAAUUUGAAGCUCUAGACCUUUAGGACACUAAACUCUCUGGUUAGGCGCCAACCGUUAAAUGGAAGGUUCGUUUUAUAUGAAUGGUAUAAUGGCAGCUCUAUUAAGGUGUUGAGAAUUUCUUUUUUCUUUAUAAUAAAUAUGUUGUCCGGUUUCUAACCUACCGUAGGCCUCUAGAUUAUGCAAUCUAUAACAACACUAUUAGUUGGUGGGUGAAAAUAGUUUAGAAAAGGCAUAAGAUUGAUCUCUCCAAACUUUAGUUCAUGACCGAAAUCAAAAUUAAAAUAAAUUAGAAUGAAAAUUGAAACCAUAUUUUUUAAUAUAUUUGAUUCUUGAUCGAAAUUAAAAUGACAAUAAAAUUUGACUACUAGAAAAGAGCCAAAAAUAAAUUUCAAAAAAUUAAGACAUUUUUCCAUUCUCCUCCAAAAUUGAAAUCAGACUUCCUAUUCCAAACCCUAACUCUCUAGAACGUAGCAUGCCCUGAGAUUUUUAUUGAUACACAUAAUAGAGGAGCAUCAUAUGAGAGGCCUCUCCUUCACUAAAAUCACACACACGAAGAACUCAAAGAAGAAAAGAUGGAGACAUUUGUGGCAUUGCUGCUAAUUAAUCUAACCCAAAGGGAGGUCAUAGAUCAACCACGUCAAAGGGGGGAGAGAGAGAGAGAAGACAACUUCCAAAGUCCAAACCUCCGUCUGUGUCCGCACACCAGAAACCAGAAAGGACCAUGCGUAGGUCACGAACCUAAAUAUUAAACCCUCUCCACACAAACCAAGCCAUCACCUACUCAGUACUUUCUACCAGAUUUCAGCUCAUUCUCAUAACUUCGAAUGGAAUGACGUGUUAAAUUCAUUUGACCAGCCGAGAAGAUGUCGCUAAUACGGGUUGGAGUCCCCUACUGAAGAUAUUAGCUCAACAAAUGAAGGGGUCAAUCCAACAAAAUCUUCACGAGCAAGAUAAUUGCCUUGACCUUUUUGAGCAAAAUAAAAUAUAGAAAAACAGGGGUUGGGGUAAUGAAACAACAAUAUCACUCUCGUCCUCGAGAUUAGAACAGAUGCUUGUAAUAGGUGUAAUAAACUAGUACGGAUCAACCAUCAUGCUCCAAUCAAAUGAGGCAGGUGUUUGGAGGAACAAUGCAACCACGAAUGUGUUAUAAAUUUUCAAAAACUCUAACUUGAUACUUAGGUAGAAUAUCCUAAUCAUCAGUCACCAGGAACAGCUCUCACCCAUUUAAAAUGAUUAGGAAAAAGGGGCAGACUCGGGCUCAUAUCUUUGAGACACUUCCAUCUUCCGGGCGGGAGAAACCAACAGUAAGAGAGCAAGACCACAUCCCCCUAGAUAAGAUGAUGCAGGCAAGCCUUUUCUAGUUCUCUUCUUCAUCAAACUUGAUCCUCUUCGGUGCUGGUUGAACGACACCAACCUGUGAUACACAAAAAUAAAAAGGAAAAGCAAAUCGUAAGAGUGUACCUCUACCUCGUAGGGCAAAGAAAUAGCAUCCAACAUUGAAAACAUCAUAUCGGGCAAACAUGUAGUCUGGCCUCCAUAAAAUGCUACCUUUCAGCUAUAUCAUAAUAGUCUUACUUGACUCAAGUUUUAUUACAGUCACUGUCCAAACCGGUAAGCUGGAAUGCAUUUAAACAGGAAACAAAAUGCUAGUGUUAAAUUAAACUCGGUCCAUUUGGAAAACCAGGCUUCUUGUCUGCCAAUCAUGUAUAAGCUUAACUUUUAAGGGGACACAGGCAGGCACUGUGUGCGCUCCAAGCUUCAGCUUGUGAAAUCCACAGUAAGAAGUCGGGAAUGAACUCAUUGUGACUAGAGUCACUUGCCCAUUUACAUUUGCUGAUUCAAAUGUUGAUAGCAGGUUUCCAGUUAAGAUGACUGGUAAUGGUAUGCUAUUUAUGCCAAAACUCUCAUUAAACUUUCCAUGAUUAAGACUAACGACAACCAAUCUGGCAUAGAAACAGCAUUUACCUGCUGGUUGCCUAAUGUCUCAUGAUGUUUAACUUUGUUCGAAAAUGAAUAAAAUUUUUCAACUUAUUCAGAACUCAAAAAGAAAUAGCAAAAAAUAUGGAAUAUUUUACUUACAAAAUCUGGGCAUUCAUAAUCAAUACCAGCAGCCUUUAUCCGCUUACGCCGCUUCUCAUCUCGUUUUAAAAUUCCAUGCACCAUCCGCUGGUGUUCUUCCAUGGUUCUUUCCUGAACAUCAGUCAUGAAUGAUAAUACAAUCACAACACAACUGAGCAGUUAGUCCCAUAGUCUAAAAGAUUUAAUAUUACCUUGUUAUGCCGUUUCCGUGCAAUUGCUUUCCAAUCCAAUGGUUUGAAUAUUCGGUUUACUCCUUUCCACCUAUAAUGAAAAUUUGGAAGAAAAAGAAAACUAUAACUAACAUAGAAACCACAAACAAAAGGUUGUGAGAAUGUACAAAAGGCAGUGAUAUGACCGAAGUAUUUAUUUUCAGAUGAUUAAGGCAUGUCUUAUUUCAUUUUUACCACCAUCAACUAAACAAGACAAUUGUAUGUGCCAUCAGUUCAUACGAUACAUAAAAUAUCAUAUGCAUCAAAUUUAUUAUCACUCGUACCAUAAGUAGAGUCUUAUAUGGGCGCUAUCACAAGUACAGUCUUAUAUGGUGCCCAUAGAAGCAUAGAGGUUAUACAAGCACAUUUUCCAAGGAUCUUCAAGUUUUUUGAAAGUAUAAAAAAAAAACAAGUUAACUAUGAACAGAAAAUCUUUUAACAAGUACUAAUUUCAAAAUGAGUGAGGGAGACAAGAUUUAAACUUGGGAAGAAAACUGAUUCUUUUAGGCACACUGCAUGGUAAGUUCCACUCAGAAAAUCCUUGCAACAAUAUAAAUUCCAGGCAUCAUGAGGUAGAACUCAAGAGUGCAUAUCAGUAUUCCUCAUGUUACCAGAAACAAUUCUAAGCAUCAGUCUCUCUGACAAGUUUAUAAUUACUACAUAAAAAGUGUUUCAGCACUUAUAAAUCUCACAGAUUUUCUUUUCUUAUUCCUAUCAACUGCAAAUCUGUUGGCAUCAAUUAAUAAUAAGAUUGCAUUAAUAUUACUACAAAGUUCCACAAAAUUCAAUUUCAAGGUCAUUCAGGCCAAAACAAUACAAUUAUAUCUGGUUCUAAAUGACACUUGUCAUAGAUCAAUUUCAAAUAAUAGCUUACAGUUUUGGAUGAACACGCUCUGGUGGAAUAAGACUGAGUUGGAGAUUGUGCUCAAAUAGUAGGUAAUUGUUCAUCUCAUCAGCCACAACCUUGGCCACCUGCAAGUUACAGCACAUAUCAUGUUAACACUAAAACAAUAUCUUUUAUUGAAGACAGCAUAAGAAUCUGCUAGAACAAAGAUUCUUACCUCGGGGUUUUCAAAUUCAAGAAAUCCAUAGUGUCUUGAUUUUCCUGUCUAGAAAAUAUGAAAAGAAGUAGAGAAAUAUCAGCACCAGUUAUAUAUAAGGUAAACUGCUCAAUUAAAUAUACAUAUAUAUAAGAAAAUGGCUUAACAGUCAGAAGGCAUAAUUUGGAUUUUCUACAUAGGCUUAAGUACGUUUGUCAGGUGCAGGCAUGCAAUUAAGUAUCAGAGCUUUCCAAUAUCUAAGAAUCACAGUUGUCAAAUAACCUAGGUGAUCCCUCCUCCAGCCUACGCGAUUAGGUGACUGCCUAGGAAAUAGAAUUUAUACAAAAUUUACAAAAUAAUAUACCUUUAUAUAUUUGAAUUAUUAAUCAAGACAUGCUUUUUGCUAAUAAACAAUCCAUAUUUGGGUUAUAUGCACGAGUUCUACUAAAAAUUAAUAUUUCCAAUAUCACAAUUUUAUUGUUGUCCUAAAAUUAUAAACAAUAUACAGAAGCAUACCAAUCAUAUAAAUGCACAAGAUUAUUAUUAACAAGAGUGUAUUACUAAUAUGAAUAGUAGUAGCACUAGUUAUUGCACUAUAUUAAAGUUGUACACUGUAAGGAUAUCUAUCACAUACAAAUCCAGGAUAAGUUCCUAAGUUGAGCAGAAAACUUAUGAUGCUUAAAUAGAACCCAAUGAUUGAAUAAAAACCCAUUAAAGAUGUAAGCAAGAAUCUCUUAAACAUACGAAAAAUAACUGAACUAAAUCAAGCAAUGAAUUAGAAAGAAAAUUAGAAAAAAAAUGAAAUAAAAGCAUAAAAAUGUAAUACAUAUAUCUAAGGUCCGCAAUCUCAGUACCAAAAACGUUAUCAAUUUGGUGUCUUACGAUAUGGUACCAAGACAUCUUUUUUCUUACUUUUUAUCAUGAUACUGCUCGAAAUGGGGCGAUACGGGCUGGUGCUGAGUGGAACGAGGUAGUUCUACUCAGUGGAGUAGUUCCCAUGCCAAACCAGCAAACCAACCCGGUCUUGCACCAAUUUGGUAUGGUAUGCUUUGAACCGGGUAGUUCGGGUCAGUUUUGCAGUCUUUGACUAUAACAAUAUGGUAACAAUAUGGUGGUGUGCCAGUAAGAUCAUUGUGGAGAGUACCAUGGAGAACAAGUAGAGGGAGUCCUUUGAAAGCCUGUAUGAGAGUAUCCUUUGGUCCCCCAAAGCCAAUGGUAAAAGAAAGAAAGAAAGCAAAAAAAAAAAAAGACUUCUUGUUUUGGAGAGCUUCAGACCAACCAUUCUCCUUGGGUUUAACAAUAUCAACAUCAAGAAGUGGAAAAUGAAAGAGAAAUGGAGAGGAAGCAGAGAAAAAGCGGAGAGAUAGAGUGAGAGAGUGAGAGAAUUAUUGACAAUAGAAAGGGAGAAGGAGAGAGAGUACUCUCCAUCAACCAUGAAUCAGCAUACAAGACUGCCAACCAUUGUGAAGGUCAGUUUGAGAGUGGAAAAACUUCGGAUGAGAGGAGAGAAGGAUCUAAUGGAUCAAUCACCUUUGUUCUUUGUUUUUGUUUUCCCUUUCCCUUAUCCAGUUUGACCCUAUCCAGUCCCAAGUCAGCUGACUCAGGUUUGGCUUGCCACUAUAGUUGAUGGGUUGGUCGACGUGAUUGCCAAGCAAAAUUGGGCAGCGCAGGCAACGCCCACUCACCCAGCUGAGUGUCCAAAACAUUAUGCGACCGCCUAUAUAGUGGAUAGUUCAGGCUGGCCUUACCUAGGCAAUCUAGGCCUAGUCAGGUGCCUAGGCACCCUGCUAGGUGCCUAGGUGGGCGCCCAUAACAACUAUUCUAAGAAUAUCUUUUCUACAGACCAGUACCCAAGUGCAAUAGACAUGUUCAAAAUGGCUUAGAGGCAGAAAUCAUAG
This 46310-nucleotide long non-coding RNA is filed under the name Phoenix dactylifera (date palm). Its description in RNAcentral is "long non-coding RNA (PDAC_LNC000585)". The record is from RNAcentral. Lineage: Eukaryota; Viridiplantae; Streptophyta; Magnoliopsida; Arecales; Arecaceae.